AAAAAGUUAGAUCUGUUCAUCCUUUAUCCAAGCCAGUCCGAGCCUUUGCAAUUUUCUAUUCAUUGCUUGCAUAGUUGAAUUAUCGGUUGCAUCGUCGUGUCAGUUGCUGGUUUUAGUGUCUAGUUCCUUUAGAGUUUCGAGUUCUGUUCACAUUAGUCACGCCGCCGCUGCAUCAUUAUCCCUUCCGCUGUCCACCAUCCCAUCUAUUAAUUUCCACCACGUGCUACACACUGUUCAUUGUCAUAAUCAUAGUUGAGGUCAUUCACAUCUUCGCCUGAUCGAAUCUGCAUCUUAUCUAGUUUGUCUUGGAAAGAGGGAGAAAAAGAAGAUAAAGAAAAAAAAGAGCGAAAAAAGGAAAGAAAAAAAAAGAGGGAGAAGAAAAAGAAAAAAAAGCGUGAGAAAAAAAAGAGAGAAGAAAAAAAAUUGGAUCUAUCUAGAAUCAAUCUCGUACCUGAAUUCGGAUUGGAAUCUGUUUUGCGCACUGUUCAGUAAAACAGGUGUAUCUUCCUCAUACGAAGUCCGUUUUGGCUCCGUGAGUACUCAAAUUGAAGCUAGCGACAAGCCGCAUCUAAAUAGUUGCAGAAACUAGUUCAAUAUUUGACACCUCAAAAUCGGGUUCUAAAUAGGUCUUUUUGCCCUCUGAAGUUCGUGAACACAGCUUGUUCCAAUUUUUCAGGCCAGAUUUAGAAUUCUUUGACUCCUCAUAUCAACUUGGAAUUGAGUGAUUCUUUUUGCAUUGGAAAGCUUGAGUUAGUAGCAUUCUUUGAAUGAAUUUAUCAGAAAAUUGGCUCAAACUUUUCAAGAGGAAAGUUGGAGAGAGAGUUGUUGUAUAUCCUGCUUGGCAGUUGUUUUUCAUCAGUAUCUUCACUUCCGUUGUGAUCUUCACUUAUAUCUUACUGUCAAGAGCUACUUAGUAUCCUUCAUUGAUGCUAGUUGUGCUACGCCAUGACCUCAUUAGUGUUCUAGGCUCGCGUCUCUAGUCCGGUCUAGCCUAGGACCAGCACAGUACCGUCGUUGAGCGUUUAUUCAACAUUGCAUCUUUGAAUUGAUUAUUGCUAAAUUUUUUGCUACCAUAUAUAGCCAACCCAGCUCCACAUAUUUCUACACCGUGUAUAUGUACGUUCCCCUGGCAAUCGUUUUACACAAUCUUCAGAGUUACUUGACACCAUGGUUGCCUGUCACGCCCUGCCGCAUGGUAAGAACUUGUAAGAUAUUGAUAUUUGCUUUACUGUGAGCACUUUACAACCACAUCCUAGUAGUGCAUAGGAACAUUAUUCUCGAAUUUUGUUUCUUGUUUCUACUAAUCAUGACAGGUUCCGGAGAUAGAAGUUCUUGGACGACGGACACAUCUUCACCAUCACGGGAGUUGGGACAACACACACAAGCACAUGGUCAGGUUAUCUCUUUACCGUCAUUUGAGGGUAGAUUUAAUCCCGCUAUUUAUCUAGCUUGGGAGUUUGAAGUAGAACAAAUUUUUAGUAACCAUGACUUUUCUGAACUUGAGCGAGUACGAGCUGCCACUAGAGCAUUUACUGGUUUUGCUUCUGUUUGGUGGAGUGUGCAUUGUAAGAAAAACAUUGAUAACCAACCCACAACUUGGAAAGAUUUGAAAGAUGUAAUGAGAAAACAUUUUUCCCUCCUUACUAUCGUCGUGAAUUGCUUCACAAAUUUGAACAAUUUAAACAAGGCAACAACACUGUUCAUGCUUACUACCAAGAGUUCAAAUCUUAUAUGCAUCAUUGUGACAUAGAAGAAUCUAAGGAUGAUACAAUGAAUAGAUUUUUUGGUGGUUUGAACCAUGAUAUUCAGGCAAGAUUUCAGUAUAUUCCUCGUUACAUUACUGGUAUGUAUGUUCGUGCUUGUACCUUUGAGAGACAGAUACAGGAGGAUGCAUUGGGUGACUACAACAACUACUAUUCCAGUUCAUGCUCACCAUCGCCGGUUGGUUCCUCCACCGUUGCACCUACUAGAGCAGCCCCACUUCGGAUUGUGAGCGCGACAUCAUCUCAAGAGUAUGGUGCAUUGUCUACGUCCGUACCUACAUCAGCUACGUCUUUGCGACAAGGUAACAGUAAAGGUAUUGAUGAUAUAACUUCACAUGAGAACGAUGCAUCCCUAGUUACCUUGAAUACAUCAUGUGUUGAGUUACCUAUUGAUUUGAGCACGCCACCUAGUUUAGAAAAUCAUGUUACUAUCAUGAAUGCAUCAUGUGAUCAAACAACUGAAAUACCAACAAUUUUGAGGUCGUCCAUUGAAUUAACUGUUGAUGUCAAAGAACCAUGUGAAUCAGGACAUAAAUUAGAUUUGGAUAAAAUAAAUUUUAAAAUAAUUAUGCCAAUGUUUAAUCAUUUUGAUAUGACCUCUAAUCUUGGUGAUCAUUCUGUGUCAAUGACUUAUUGCAUGUUUUCUUAUUUAAGCAUGUUGUAGCAUGUAAAUUUGAUGCACGUAAGGUUUAUUCACCAAUGUUGGGAUGGUUUAAUGAUGAAUAUUGUCAAUCUUUUGAUAUGAAUAAGAGCUUCACUUAUAUGUGCAAACUGAGUUACAAUAUUUUCAUGCCUUCUACUUAUGAUAAUAUUUUAGCUUUAUAUUUUAUGAUCUAUGAAAGUUACUCAUGUAUACAUGUGUCAUAUGUGCAAAAAUCAAGGGAAGUAAAAAUGGAUGGCAUAUACAUAUACAACAUGUACACUUUGUCUCUUUUGUUAGCCACAUUUCAGAUUAAGCAACGCCGAUGACGGCUUUGUUUUCAAGAAGGGGAGGAUGAUGAGGACAUGACUGCCUUGGAUAAGACCAAAAAUAUUGCAUACAUGCAUAUUUGUCAGGUGAUUUCUAGUGCAAACUAUUCAAUAAUCUAUUUAUGUUAUCCAGAACAAAAAUACUUCACAUACUUUUGUGUUUUGUCUAAUUGCAGGUGUAUGGGUUAUUUGUACAAUCCACAUAUGAAGAUAAGGGAAAAGGAGAAGUUUAGGUGCUGUUCAAAAAGUCCUCUCACGUCACUUUUGGGUCAAGAGAAGAUAGAGUCCAAGUCUCUCACGUUCUGGAUUCAGAUUCGGACUGCACAGAUAUACCAGACUCAAAACGCCAACAACUUUUUCAUACGGACUCCAAAUUGGGUGAUUCUUUUUUUGUUGGAAAGUAGAUUUCAUGAUCUUUCCAACCCAAUUGGAAUCACCUUAAAAUCCGUCCAGAGCGUUGAGUUAUGAACGAAACAAUCUGACGAUGCACCAGAAUCCGAGUCAAACUACAAGUCCAAAGGUGUUACGUCACCUCCACUUGGGCCCAUUGGCCUUGUACGACCUAGGGUUAGUUUUAAGCUGCCUUGGGACGUCCUCCCACCUCCUUGGCCGCCACCCCUUGCUCCUAUAUAAGUAGAUCCAUCUAGUAGCUUUUCUCUUGGGAUUUGUUUAGUUAAAAGUUAGCCAUUGCAACUUCGUGUACUUCGUUUGUGUCCAACGACCAGACCAAGACCGCUUACGGAUCUCCACCUUUAUCAAUACCUCAUAUAUACUCGCAAUAUUCAGAUUGCUUUUAUCAUAUUCUUGCUUGUUCUUUAAUUGCUUGCAGGAAUAGACCUUCGUGGUCAGGUUGAUUGUGCUCCGGUGUGGUCAAUAACCUCUCAGAGUUGGUUUAGCGAUUGCUAAGGCGCAACGUCGUGCACGUUUGUAGUCGGAUCGUCAAAGUCAUCUUCACCAAAUCGAUAGUUAUCAUCUCAUCGAAAGAUCGGGACACCCCGCCUCUAUCAGCGGAAGGCUUGGAAGAUAAGUGAGUCCAUCAACUCCAACGGCAUCGCCGAGUAUAGAACCACGACCUAAAACUCCUUAAUUAUCGUCUGAAAAGUCUGCAACAUUAACGUUGCAGCCCGAAAAUGGGUCAGCACAUGGAAUAUGCUAGCAAGGUAACACAUAGAGAGUAAUGGAAUGAAACAGCUAUACUAUAUGCAUAUUUGGCUGGAAAGCUCUAUGGUUACAAUUUUGCGUAAAGCCAAUUUUUCCCUACUUCAAAGGAAUAAUAUUUAAUUACUAUCAUGGUAGUUGUUAAACAUUGAAAAUGGUUGACAGCAUUCUCAAUCCCAAUUAAACAUCAUCAUUAAACAUAACCCAGCAAAAUUAAUUUAGAGUAACAUGUUGAGAUUCACAUGAUAAUCCAGGUACUAGAUACUCAAGAUGUCCAUAACCGGGGACAUGGCUAAUCAUGAUUAGUUUAUUACACUCUGCAGAGGUUUGCGCACUUUUCCCCACAAGACUCGAUCGCCUCUGUUUGGUUUCUCGCACUACAUGGUGUUUGAGAAGACGGAUAACCGAGACAUAGUCUUUCAGAAGCGCUAGCACCUUAUGAUCGGGUAGACCAUACCACCUACAUCCCCUACAUCUGCUAGUCUACCACUGUAAGAGUUCGCACGACUUAGUCAACUAUGCUAGAGCCCAUAAUAGCUUGUGGCUGCACACGGAAGUUUCUAGUAUGAAUAGUCUCAUGAUCCCUUUGAGCCUGGGUGGCGGUCCAAAAGAAAACAGGCAAGUCCUCUAGAAUACCCAGGUGCCUCAAUCCACCCAGAUGUGUGUUUAAGUUGCCACCUUAGAUAAACCAUUAAUUAACAAAACUCACAUCUGUCAUGGAUAUCACUCACCCAAACCACGUCUACGAGCAUAGCAUAGCAAAUUAAGCAAUGCGUAGAAGUAACUCCCAAAGGUUUGACAAUAAACAGGUAAUAGGUACUACCUCAACUACUUCCCAUCCCACAAUUUAAUUAGAUCCUAAUCUUGCAAUGUGUAAGGAUUGAUCUAAUGCAAUAAAACUGGGUAGUAGGAAAAAUAUGAUCAAAGUGUUACUUGCCUUGCUGAUGAUCCGUGAAACCUAGAGAUUCGAAGUAACAUGCGGCGCACUCCGGGUAUUCUAUCGCAGACAAACAAACAAACAUACAAUAAGUACUCAUCUAAUGCACGGGUAAAACUCAAAUAAGAGAUCUAACCAGAAGGUUCAACUUAAGAACUCCAGUUGGCAAAAAGAAUCAAAUCGAACGAAGCAACGAAAGUCAAACGACGAAAGAAAACAACUUCGUUCUACUAAUCUGGAUCUAGGGCAAAUUUUACAGGGGCAAAAUCUUUUUUAAGUUGGUUAAACGGAUAGAGGGUUUCGAGACGAAACUCCAGGCACUUGAAUCACCUGAUUCCGAUAAAUGAGCGAAAAGUUAUACUAAAACGAAAAUCGGAUCAGGAAUCGCGAUCAGAAAAAUCGCGGAUUUAAUCCGAGAAAAAGAAAAACGACGAACGCUCGCUAAAACGAACGAAUGGACGAACACUCACUAUUUAAAUAAACCAGAAAAACUGAUCUAUUUAAAAGAAAACCAAAACUAAAAAAAACCGAUGGAAAAACCGUCGGAAAACCGAUCGAUUUUCUAAAAAAACCGGGCACGGAUUUCGAGGCGGCGGUGAACCUCNNNNNNNNNNNNNNNNNNNNNNNNNNNNNNNNNNNNNNNNNNNNNNNNNNNNNNNNNNNNNNNNNNNNNNNNNNNNNNNNNNNNNNNNNNNNNNNNNNNNNNNNNNNNNNNNNNNNNNNNNNNNNNNNNNNNNNNNNNNNNNNNNNNNNNNNNNNNNNNNNNNNNNNNNNNNNNNNNNNNNNNNNNNNNNNNNNNNNNNNNNNNNNNNNNNNNNNNNNNNNNNNNNNNNNNNNNNNNNNNNNNNNNNNNNNNNNNNNNNNNNNNNNNNNNNNNNNNNNNNNNNNNNNNNNNNNNNNNNNNNNNNNNNNNNNNNNNNNNNNNNNNNNNNNNNNNNNNNNNNNNNNNNNNNNNNNNNNNNNNNNNNNNNNNNNNNNNNNNNNNNNNNNNNNNNNNNNNNNNNNNNNNNNNNNNNNNNNNNNNNNNNNNNNNNNNNNNNNNNNNNNNNNNNNNNNNNNNNNNNNNNNNNNNNNNNNNNNNNNNNNNNNNNNNNNNNNNNNNNNNNNNNNNNNNNNNNNNNNNNNNNNNNNNNNNNNNNNGGCGGGGUCGGCGGCUGUGGCGGCUCGAGGCUAGGGUUUCCCCCGGGGCUGGGCCGGCUUAUAAAGCCACCUCGGGCCGGAGUCCUAGCCGGACACGGCCCGUAGGUCGGUUCGUUUUUUUAUUACGCGCAGAAGAAAAAUAAAAAGAAAUACUAAACGGACUCUAAAAAUUUCGAAAUAAAAUUUCACGGGCUUCUAAAAUCAAGCCGCACAAGGUGAACAUUUAUUUGGGACCUAAAUGCAACUUUGAAAAAUGCACAUUUUUCCUAAAUUCAAAUAAAAACACCGAAAAACUCCGAAAUAAAAUCUUAUUUGAUUUUAUUAUUUGAUCCUCAAUAUUUCUUUAUUUUGGGAAAGUCAUUUUAUUCCCUCUCUCAUAUUUUUGGAAUAGAAAUAAUUAAUGAUAAAAUAAUUAAAAUCAAAUGAUCCUAUUCUCAAAACUUGAGAAAACUCAAAUAUGAAAAUAACCAAAUCCCCAACUCUCUCCGUGGGUCCUUGAGUUGCGUAGAAUUUCUAGGAUCAACCAAAAGCAAAAUAAAAUAUGAUAUGCAAUGAUGAUCUAAUGUAUAACAUUCCAAAUUGGAAAUUUGGGAUGUUACAAACCUACCCCCCUUAAGAUGAAUCUCGCCUUCGAGAUUCGGGUUGGCUAGAAAAUAGGUGAGGGUGGUCCUUGAGCAAAUCUUCCUCUCGUUCCCAGGUGGCUUCGUCCUCCGUGUGGUGGCUCCACUGAACCUUACAAAACUUGAUAACCUUGCUGCGGGUAACUCGGCUGGCAAACUCGAGGAUCUUAACUGGUUUCUCCUCAUAGGUCAAAUCAUUAUCCAACUGAAUAGUUUCCAAUGGCACUGUGUCUCUCAAAGGUAUCUCAGCCAUCUCCGCGUGGCACUUCUUUAACUAAGAGACGUGGAACACAUCAUGAACUCCUGACAAUCCUUCGGGCAAUUCCAACCUGUAGGCCACUUCUCCCGUACGCUCCAAAACUCGAUAUGGUCCUACAAAUCAUGGCGCUAACUUCCCUUUAACUCCAAAACGCUUUGUUCCCUGAAGUGGAGAUACUCGAAGAUAAGCUCUAUCUCCGACUUCGUAAACUGUCUCCUUGCGUUUAGAAUCUGCAUAACUUUUUUGUCUGGAUUGGGCUACCUUGAGCCUAUCGCGAAUCAAUUUCACCUUCCGUUCAGACUCCUUAAUCACGUCAGGUCCAAACAACCAGGAGUCUCCGACUUCGUCCCACGACAACGGUGUCCUGGACCUCCAUCCGUACUAGGCUUCGAAAGGGGCCAUCUUCAAACUGGCUUGGUAACUAUUGUUGUAAGAGAACUCUGCAUAUGGAAAAUUAUCGUCCCAACUAGAUCCAUAAUCUAGCGCACAAGCUCUCAGCAUAUCCUUCAAAAUCUGAUUGACUCUCUCGGUCUGUCCAUCUGUCUGUGGAUGAAAAGUUGUACUGAAUUCUAGCCUAGUUCCCAACGUCUCAUGCAACUGCUUCCAGAACUUUGAGGUAAACUGGGUUCCUCUAUCUGAUACGAUACUCCUCGGAACUCCAUGCAAACAUACGAUCCUGGUCAUGUAUAUCUUUGCCAACUUAGCACUGGUGUAAGUGGUCUUUACCGGGAUGAAAUGAGCUACUUUCGUCAAUCGAUCAACUACAACCCAAAUUGAGUCAUAGCCUGAACGAGUCCUGGGUAAUCCCAUGAUAAAAUCCAUGCCUAGCUUAUCCCACUUCCAUUCGGAUAUCGGCAAUGGUUGUAACAAUCCUGCUGGCUUCUGAUGCUCUGCCUUUACUCUCUGGCUGUAACACCCCGGAUGUGAUUUACCCAAUAUGUACUCCAACUCUUGCCGUUUCCGGCCUUAAGUUAUUUCAUUUUCUCGGGUUCGGGUUUUUGUCUCCGUAUGUUGUUGUCGUUGUCAUGCAUCUCAUAUCAUGUCAUCAUGUGCAUUGCAUUUGCAUACGUGUUCAUCUCUUGCAUUCAAGCAUUUUCCCCGUUGUCCGUUUUGCAUUCCGGCGCUUCGUUCUCCUCCGGUGGUCAUUUCUACCUUUCUUUCGUGUGUGGGGAUUAAACAUUUCCGGAUUGGACCGAGACUUGCCAAGCGGCCUUGGUUUACUACCGGUAGACCGCCUGUCAAGUUCCGUACCAUUUGGACUUCGUUUGAUGCUCCAACGGUUAACCGAGGGACCGAAAAGGUCUCAUGUGUGUUGCAGCCCAACACCCCUCCAAGUUGGCCCAAAACCCACCAAAACCGUCUCCAUCGUCUAGAGUGUUCGAUCACGAUCGCGUGGCCAAAAACCGCACCUCAUUUGGACUCUCCUAGCUCCCUCCACCUCUAUAUAAAGAACCCCCCAUUUCAAUUCACGGACGAAACCCUAGAACCACCCACCUCUCCCGCCGGCGGACAUUUUUUCGUCCGGCCACACACGUCCGGAUCCACCCGCCGCCGCCACGUCAGAUCCCGCGAGCCCCACAUCACCGCCGCCGCUCGGGGCCCGCCAGGCCCGCGGGAGGCCCUCCCGGGCCCAUCGACCGCGCCGCCCCGNNNNNNNNNNNNNNNNNNNNNNNNNNNNNNNNNNNNNNNNNNNNNNNNNNNNNNNNNNNNNNNNNNNNNNNNNNNNNNNNNNNNNNNNNNNNNNNNNNNNNNNNNNNNNNNNNNNNNNNNNNNNNNNNNNNNNNNNNNNNNNNNNNNNNNNNNNNNNNNNNNNNNNNNNNNNNNNNNNNNNNNNNNNNNNNNNNNNNNNNNNNNNNNNNNNNNNNNNNNNNNNNNNNNNNNNNNNNNNNNNNNNNNNNNNNNNNNNNNNNNNNNNNNNNNNNNNNNNNNNNNNNNNNNNNNNNNNNNNNNNNNNNNNNNNNNNNNNNNNNNNNNNNNNNNNNNNNNNNNNNNNNNNNNNNNNNNNNNNNNNNNNNNNNNNNNNNNNNNNNNNNNNNNNNNNNNNNNNNNNNNNNNNCGCCAUUGCCGGCCUCGCCGCUCCGGCAAGGCACAGCCGCCUUGCAGCACCCCGACGCCGCCGGCCGCCGCCUCCUCGAGGCCUCGCCAACCCGCCGCCGCCUCGUCCUCGCCUCCCCUCGCCCGGAUCCGGCUCCGGCGAGCUAAUCCGACGACUCCGGUAACUCCGACCACCGCGCCCCUGUCGCCGGUGAACAGUUCUGGCGAGCCUCGAAAUCCGCGCCCGACUGGAUCUAGAUCUGAGAAAUUGCCUCGGUUGACUUUUGCCCGAAACCCUAAUUUAUUUGGCGUUGUUCAUCUCAUCAUAACUCCUCAUCCGUAACUCCGUUUUGGGCAUAUAGCAUAUCAAAGUGUUCAUCUCAGAGAGUACAUCAUUUCAUCUCAUUGCAUCAUUUUCAUUUGAGUUCAUCUUGAUGCCCGAAAUGCUGUUAGAAGAAUGCUAUUUGAGAUAAUUGUCAGAUCUGCUGCUUCAAUUAGAUAUUUGUCAUUUUUGCCAUGAUUAUUGUGUGCAUGAUAUGCCCAUGAGCUCUACAUGUGUUUUGUUAUAUGUUUUGCCAUCUAUCCAGAGGUGCAACCCAUGUAUUUUUGUGAUGUGUGUGGUGACUAGCACAAGCUUGCAAAGUGGUGCAUUCGUUAAUGCUGAUUUCAGGGACUUAGCAUUUCCACUAAGUCCUUGAUCUGUUUAUCUCAUUAUGCCAUAUGUUCAUGUUGUUUCCUAUUGAUCCGUGCCUCUUUUGAGGAUGAUCAGUAAGGAUGUUUUGUUAAUCUUUUAGUGCUCUAUCCAUCCAUGUCUUUGGUUGCAAUUAUCGAGCACCCUAGCUUGAGUCAAUCGAGCUCUACUUUUGCUAUUUUGUGAAUCUGGGCAGAUUGUUUACUUGUUAGCGAUUUUGCCGAGGAUGUUGUAGUUGAUCCAUGCAUGCUAUGUUAUUGUUCUUGCCAUGUCUACCUUGUAUUUUGUGUAUUCUUGAUGGGUGUAUGCUUAGAUUGUCAUGACUUGCUCUGUAGUGAGUGCAUCGUGCUCUUAGACAUGCCUACUUGAUAUCUGUUUCAGCAUGCUCCAGUUUUCACUAAGUCUGAGAACUGAUUAUGUUUUUGCCAUGUUCAUAUGCUUGCAAUUGUAUUUUCUGAUCCCUUUUGGCUCAAGGUCACUAAGGGACUUUUGUUAAUCUCUUUGAGUAGCUCCAUGCCAUGCUUUACUUUGCCAUGUUCAGGUCCUGUAGCAUAUUGUUUUCUUGCUCCAAAGAGUGCUAUCUGAUCUGAAAUUCCAGAAAAGUGUUAAUUUCACUAAGUCUGAAAUUUGUUUACCAAAUGCAUUUUUGCCAUGCUUGUUUGAACCUGUUAAUGGAUGAAUUGGUCGUAGCUCAGUGCUAGUAUUUUGUUAAGCUUCAUGAAUGGAUCCCUGCCAUGUAUUUUGUUGUCAUGUUUGGGUGCUGUAGCAUGUUCAACUUGUUGCAUUUAGUUGACUACUUGCUGUAAAUCGCAGAACGUGGUCAUAUUUGAAUUGCUUGCCAUUUCCAAACCGUAACUCCGAUUCUGGCGUUCUUUAUAUCGUUUUCAAGCGAUUUCAUCUCAUCUUUCCAAUGGCACACUUGGAUUUCCAAGUUCAGGCCAGGUUCUUUCAUUCCUUGUAAAAUCUUGCAUAUGCAUCACAUAUUGCGUCCCGCAUAGCAUACCAUCCUUGCAUCAUGUUGUUUGAGUUUGCACGUGGUUGAUUGUGUCCUUGUUGCUUGUUUGUCUUGUUUGGGUAGAGCUGGCAGACGAGUUCGCUAACGAGGAGCCCGUUGAGUUUGCUUUCGAGGAUCCAAUCAACUCUGACAACUUUGCAGGCAAGAUGAUCAUACCCUCGAAAUCACUACUAUCUUUGCUUUGCUAGAUGCUCGCUCUUUUGCUAUGCCUAUGCUACGAUGCCUACCACUUACUUAUCAUGCCUCCCAAAUUGCCAUGUCAAACCUCUAACCCACCAUGUCCUAGCUAACCGUUGAUUGGCUAUGUUACCGCUUUGCUCAGCCCCUCAUAUAGUGUUGCUAGUUGCAGGUGAAGAUUGGAGACCGUUCCUUGGUGGGACAUUAUUUACUUGUUGGGAUAUCAUUAUAUUGCCAUGUUAUCUUAAUGCAUCUAUAUACUUGGUAAAGGGUGGAAGGCUCGGCCUCUCGCCUAGUGUUUUGUUCCACUCUUGCCGCCCUAGUUUCCGUCAUAUCGGUGUUAUGUUCCCGGAUUUUGUGUUCCUUACGCGGUUGGGUUAUAAUGGGAACCCCUUGAUAGUUCGCCUUGAUUAAAUCUUUUCCAGCAAUGCCCAACCUUGGUUUUACCAUUUGCCACCUAGCCUCUUUUUCCCUUGGGUUUCCGGAGCCCGAGGGUCAUCUUAUUUAAGCCCCCCCCCCCCGGGCCAGUGCUCCUCUGAGUGUUGGUCCAACCGAGCGAUGUCCGGGGCUACCAGGGGUAACUCUGGGCUGGCCUACCCGACGUCUGGCUCAUCUGAGUGUGCCCUGAGAACAAGAUAUGUGCAGCUCCUAUCGGGAUUUGUCGGCACAUUCGGGCGGUGUUGCUGGUUUUGUUUUAACUUGUCGAAGUGUCUUGAAGAACCGAGAUACCGAGUCUGAUCGGAAUGUCUCGGGAGGAGGUCUAUUCCUUCAUAGACCGUGAGAGCUUGUCAUGGGCUAAGUUGGGACUCCCCUGCAGGGAUUUGAACUUUCGAAAGCCGUGCCCGCAGUUAUGGGCAGAUGGGAAUUUGUUAAUGUCCGGUUGUAGAUAACUUGAACCUUAAUUUAAUUAAAAUGAAUCAACUGUGUGAGUUAUCGUGAUGGUCUCUUCUCGGCGGAGUCCGGGAAGUGAACACGGUGUUGGAGUAAUGCUUGCCGCAGGAUGCCCUCUAGUUACUCGCUCGCGCUUUGCCCUCUCUUCUCGCUCUCUUUUGCGAACAGGAUAGCCACCAUAUAUGCUAGUCGCUUGCUGCAGCUCCACAUAUUUUUCCUUGCCUUACCUAUUAAGCUUAAAUAGUCUUGAUCGCGAGGGUGCGAGAUUGCUGAGUCCCUGUGGCUCACAGAUUACUUCCAAACCAGAUGCAGGGCCAGAUGACUCUGUUCCAGAUGACGCGCUUGAGCUCAAGUGGGAGUUCGACAAGGACUCACGCCGAUACUACGUGUCUUUCCUGAUGAUCAGUAGUGGUGCCCAGUUGGGGUGAUCGUGAUAGAGGCAAAGGUGUCCCGUCUUUCGAUGAGAUGAUGGAUAUCGCUUUGGUGGAAGUCGACUUUGACGAUCCGACUACGAACGUACGAGGACGUCGCGCCUUAGCAAUCGCUAAACCAACUCCGAGAGGUUAUUGACCACGCCGGAGCACGAUCAACCUGACCACGAGGGUCUGUUUCCUGCGAGCAAACGAAGAACAAGCAAGAAACUAAGAUUGCAAUCUGGAUAUUGCGAAUAUAAGAUGAAAACUUUAUUGAUCAAGGUGGGGUUCUGUGACGCCUUUGUCUGGUCGUUGAACACAAACGAAGUACGCGAAGUUGCAGCUAUGGCGAACUUUUAAUCUAAAAAAAAACCCAAAGUCUAAACGGUGCCCUAAGGGCUGUAUAUAUGGAGGAAGAGAGGGGGAAUUUCGUGGCCCUUGGUGGAGGGGUCCGAAAUCAACCCUAUCUCUUGUUUCCCCACACAUACGGACUCUAAAAAUAGCCUAUACUUAUGUAUUUCGAAAUUACAUGGGCCAAUAAUAGCCUCUGGACGAAAUUUAUGAAGUGACAUCUUGUAUAUUUCGUCCAAGGCUUCAUGCACUUGUUAUGGAGGCUUCAAAGACCUGAAAUCAUCACUUGUAACUCUGUUCUUGUUCCCCUUGUGCAUGCCAUCAUCUCCAUGCUUGUUCUUGCUCCAAUGUUCAUCCUUCUCCAAGCUAGGCCCUUCAUUUGUAAGCAAAACAAAUGUAUCCAAUUUAGGCAGCAUCAUAUUCUCAUGAACAUUAGAAUCAUUACCAAGAAACGAAAGUACCUGGUAAUUUAGUUGGCGUGCGCGAGCUCUAGUAAUUGGUCCAGUAUGUAUAGCAGCAGGGGCUGUGGGUGUAACAAUGGUAUUGAUGUCCUCAUCAGAUCGGGACCGUGUCGCAUGUUGGGUUUGUCUUUUAUUUUGGCGCUGUAGUCGGGCCAUGAGUGUUUGAAUGUUGUAAUUCUAUUUAUGUACUUUGAUUGACGUGGCGAGUGUAAGCCAACUAUGUAUCUCCCCUUUUAUUAUCUAUAUUACAUGGGAUGUUGUGAAGAUUGCCUAACUUGCGACAUUGCUUUCAAUGCGAUUAUGCCUCUAAGUCGUGCCUCGACACAUGGGAGCUAUAGUCGCAUCGAGGGCGUUACAAGUUGGUAAUCAGAGCCUUCCCCGACCAUAGGAGCCCCCAUUGCUUCAUCGUUUUUAGUAGCCGUUGUUGAGUCUAGAAAAUUGUUUUGAGUCAUUUAGGAAUUAUAUAUCGGAGAGUUUAGGAAUUCUUUUUACUUCCCAGUCUCCUCAUCGCUCUGGUAAGGCAUCCUGACGUAGAGUUUUGACUCUUAUCUUCUCAAAUUUCACAAAAAAAUUAGGAUCACGCGGGUAUCUUGGAAUCGUUCCGAUGGUUUUGUGACGAGAACAUUGUUCUUGGUGCCUCCUGUCUUUAGGGGUUGUGGCAGUGUCCCGGGGAGUUGAGCUCCGAGGUGUUGUCGUCACAAUUUUAUCCUUGCAGUUCUGGAAUACCUGAGUUUAGUACGCCGACAUCGAAAAUCUCUUUUAUGCAGUUCGUUGGUGAGAUAACCUCGACGCCACCCAGUACUGGGGUGGGAGUUCGGGAGUAUCGCCAUAACUUGUAUAACGGAUGCUUUUCGAAGGUUGAGGUAGAUGGUUUCUGAAGUUUUUCUCGGUUAUGUGUUGAAGGAUGGAUACAGCUGGAUGUAGGAUUUGCUAGAUUUGGGUGAGAUAUUAUGCUUCCCCUGUAUCCCCAACACCUGAUUGCAUAACCGAAAAGGUUCGGGAGUUUCAUAGGUGGGAAUUCUUGUAGCUCUAGUUCUUCCACGGAUAUUUGGUUUGAGAUUGGGAUUUCUUACCGAGUAUUCGUUCUUGAUCCGUACCUUGUUAAUUUAUUUCUCUACCUAAAUUCUAAGUGGCUUCUCAAUUUAUGGAUAUGUGACCAUUUCAAGUGGAAUGCAUUCGUUCAUUUUGUUCGGAUGUGAAGACUUUAUGUUGCAAUUUCAACCCGUUUGAUUCAGCUUCAUUUUAUCUGUCAAUGUGCUAAUUGUUGUCACCCUCUUCAGGAUGGCUCCCGCUAAGAGCACCAAUCAGAAUCAGAAUCAGGAUCCGCCACCACCUCCACCUCCUCCGGAGGCAUGGCAAGCUCUGAUGGCCGCAACCAAUGCAAACACGCAGUUGAUCAUGCAAAUUCUUCAAGAGCGCAAUCAAGCGAACCAAGGCAACCAAGGCAACAAUCAGAAUCACUUUGCUACACUCAACCAGUUCCUUGCUAACGGGCCAAAGACUUUCAGCAAUUGUGUUGAGGCAACUGAUGCUGACGAUUGGCUCGUGGAUCUGUGCAAGCAUUUCGAGUGCAGUAACGUCAGGCCUGAGGACUUUGUCAAGUUCGCUUCCUUCCAACUCAAAGAUCAAGCUGCAGAAUGGUUCCAACAGUACAAGGAUUCCAGAGGAGGCCGUGUGAUUACUUGGGAUGAAUUCCGUCAAGACUUUAAAGCUCAUCAUAUCCCUUAGAGUGUGGUUGAAAGCAAGCGUGAGGAAUUCCGCAACCUGAAGCAAGGCUCUUUGUUUGUCUAUGACUACAACAAGUUGUUUCAGAAGCUCACCCGCUUUGCUAAGCAGGACGUCCCUGAUGAGAAGAGCAUGAUAUACCAGUUCAGGGGGGGUCUCAGAGAAGAAAUCCAGCUAGCUCUUGUUCUCUUUGAGCCCUUGAGGUACGAUGAGUUCUACAACAUGGCAUUGAAGCAAGAGGCUGCUCAACUGAGGUGUGAUGCUUCCAAGAAGCGAGUCACAGAUGCUACUCCUUCUUCCUCUACUCAAGUGGCCAAGUAGCAGAAGUAUUGGCUUCCUCCUCCUCAGUUCCGUCAGCCGUAUCAGCAGAAGAGCAAAGGUGGCAGUGGACCUUCCCAGCCACCCAACCCUGGCUUUCAAAACAAGACUUCGUCUCAAGCUCCAAGAUCGAGUGCUUCGUAUCACCGUCCGCUUUCAGUGGUCACGUGCAACAAGUGCCAACAGAAGGGUCACUAUGCCAACAAAUGCUUCAACCAGAGGCGCCUCCCUCCUCCUCCUCCGGUGAGAUCGGCAAGUACAGCUAUGGUCAAGCAUAACACCAAGUCCGCCAAGGUCAACUUGCUGAAUGCAGCUCAGGCAGAGGACUCGUCAGAUGUCAUCAUGGGUAACCUUCCUGUUAAUGAUAUUCCUGCAAAAGUUCUUUUUGACACAGGUGCAUCGCAUUGUUUCAUCUCGAGACCAUUUGUUUCUAAGCAUGAGUUGCCUUUACAAGAUUUGCCUAGACAGUUAUCUGUUGUUUCUCCGGGUAAAUUCAUGAAUGCAAGCGCUAUCGCCCCAGAUGUUACUAUCAUGUUGGGCGACUACAAGUUCCUUUCUUCUCCGGUGGUUCUUGGUAACUCGGAUAUUGAUCUUAUUCUCGGAAUGGAUUGGCUUUCUAAGCACAAGGCGCAUCUUGAUUGUGCUGCCAGGCAGAUUCAAUUGACUCAUUCGUCUGAGAAUAUAAUUGUCUUUGCCGCUCGUGAUGAUACCAUCUGUCUGUUUUCUCUCAAUGAGAAGGGUGAACUGGAUGCCAUCUCGCAAAUUCCAGUUGUUUGCGAAUAUCAAGACGUCUUUCCAGAAGAGCUUCCAGGAAUGCCUUCGCACCGGCCAGUUGAAUUCGUCAUUGAUCUUGAGCCCGGCACGGAACCUGUUUGCAAGCGUCCUUACAAGCUCGGACCUGAAGAGUUGAAGGAGUUGAAGAAGCAACUCGAUAUUCAAGAGGGUAUGGGUCUCAUCCAGCCUAGUUCUUCUCCGUGGGGUUGUGGUGUUCUUUUUGUGAAGAAGAAGGAUGGAACGGACCGACUUUGUGUUGAUUACCGUCCAUUGAACAAGAAGACCAUCAAGAACAAAUACCCACUUCCCAACAUCAACGAGCUGUUCGAACAACUCAAAGGCGCCCAAGUAUUCUCCAAGCUUGAUCUCCGUAUGGGUUAUCAUCAUAUUCGAAUCCGUGAGCAAGAUAUUCCCAAGACGGCUUUCAGGACAAGCUAUGGGUCAUAUGAAUACACUGUCAUGUCUUUUGGCCUCGUCAACGCUCCUCCGACUUUCUCUCACAUGAUGAACUUCAUCUUCAACGCCUACACCAAUGACUUCGUUUUGGUCUAUCUCGAUGACAUUCUGGUCUUUUCAAAGAACAAGGAAGAUCAUGCCAAGCACUUGCGUUUGGUACUCGAUAAGCUCAGGGAACACAAGUUCUACGCCAAGUUCUCCAAGUGCGAAUUUUGGCUUGAUGAGGUUCUUUAUCUUGGUCAUAUCAUCUCUGCCAAGGGCAUUGCGGUGAAUCCUGAGAAGGUGUCUGCAAUUGUGAAUUGGGAACCUCCUCAGAACGUGAAGCAACUCCGUAGCUUCCUCGAUCUCGAGAGCUAUUAUCGAAGAUUCGUUGAAAACUUUUCUAAGAUCGUGAAGCCUCUCUCAAAUCUUCUCCAGAAGCACGUCAAGUACGUUUGGUCUCCGGAGUGUGACAUUGCUUUCAACACUUUGAAAGAGAAAUUGGUCACUGCUCCAGUUCUGACUCCUCCUGAUGAAUCCAAACCGUACGAGGUCUUUUGUGAUGCCUCUCUCCAAGGUGUUGGCGCAGUGUUGAUGCAAGAGAAGAAAGUUGUGGCUUAUACCUCUCGCCAGUUGAAGCCCAACAAGAAGAACUACCACACUCAUGACCUUGAGUUGGCGGCAGUUGUGCAUGCUCUUUUGACUUGGAGACAUCUCUUAUUGGGAAGAAAAGUGGACAUUUUCACUAAUCACAAGAGUCUCAAGUACAUCUUCACUCAGCCUAAUCUCAACCUAAGGCAAACUCGAUGGGUCGAAAUGAUUCAAGAGUAUAAUCCGAGUAUCGAGUAUACUCCAGGCAAGGCCAAUGUGAUUGCUGACGCAUUGAGCAGGAAGGCUUACUGCAAUAGUCUGAUUCUCAAGCCUUAUCAACCCGAGCUUUGUGAAGCUUUCCGCAAACUUAAUCUGCAAGUUGUUCCUCAAGGUUUCCUCGACAACCUUCAAGUCGCUCCUACCUUGGAAGACCAGAUUCGCCAAGCCCAGCUUCUUGAUGCUAUGGUGAAGAAGGUGAAGAUGGGGAUUACCAAGAGUCAACCCAAGUACAAGUGCUACCGCCUUGAUGACAAGGAUACUCUCUUCUUCGAGGAUCGUAUUGUUGUGCCCAAAGGUGAUUUCGUAAGGUUAUCAUGAACGAGGCUCACAAUUCUCUCCUCUCCAUUCACCCUGGGAGCACGAAGAUUUCGGACCCCUCCACCAAGGGCCACGAAAUUCCCCCCUCUUCCUCCAUAUAUACAGCCCUUAGGGCAUCGUUUAGACUUUGGGUUUUGUUUAGAUUAAAAGUUCGCCAUAGCUGCAACUUCGCGUACUUCGUUUGUGUUCAACGACCAGACAAAGGCGUCACAGAACCCCACCUUGAUCAAUAAAGCUUUCAUCUUAUAUUCGCAAUAUCCAGAUUGCAAUCUCAGUUUCUUGCUUGUUCUUCGUUUGCUCGCAGGAAACAGACCCUCGUGGUCAGGUUGAUCGUGCUCCGGCGUGGUCAAUAACCUCUCGGAGUUGGUUUAGCGAUUGCUAAGGCGCGACGUCCUCGCACAUUCGUAGUCGGAUCGUCAAAGUCGACUUCCACCAAAGCGAAAUCCAUCAUCUCAUCGAAAGAGGGGACACCUCCGCCUCUAUCAAGUGGUAUCAGAUUUCCAGGUUGCUCGGUCAGAUUUUACAGUUUUUCGUAGUUUAGAUCGAGUCUGUUCUUCAUACCUACAGUCCACGAAAAAGCCACACAAAAAAAAUUAGGGUUAGUUCAUCAUAUCCGAACCAAUCUGAGCCUUUGCAUAAUUUUUUAGGGUUUUGCUUUGUUGAAUUUGCGGUUGCAUCGUCGGUCUAGUUGCUGGUUUUAGAGUCUAGUCUUUUAGAGUUUCGAGUUCUGGUCAUAAGUUGUCACGCCGUCGCCGCACCAUCAUCAUCGCCCCUGCCAUCUACCACCACCGUUUAUCCGCCACCGCUUCGAAUCCGUAUCCAUAUACCGCCACAGCAGUCAUAUACCACCACCGCUGCCAUCUACCACCAUAUAUCCACCACCAAUCCGAGUUCUUGUCAUAUUAGGUUUGUUUUCGAGAUCCAUCUAGAUUUCGAUUCGUGUUUCCUUGUCGGGUAGCCACGCUCCGUUUAGGCCCAAAAUUUUUCGAAAACGCAUUUUUCGAAAAAUUUUCUGGCUAUCCUAUUUUUAGGUGUUUCUGAGUGUUUUGAGACAGGUGCCAUUAUAGAAAGUUUUUUUUGACCCGUUUCCAGUUUUUUGGGUCCGGGCAGUCAAAAAAAAAAUUAGUCAAAAAAAAUUCGUGUCCAUCCUGUCAGUUUGAGCUAAGAAGAGUUUUGAGACACUCGCCAUUAUAGUGAUUUUUCGCAAAAAAAAGCAGCGCAAAAAAAAAGAGAGCGCAAAAAAAAAAAGAGCGAAAAAAAAAUCCAGAGUGUGCUUUUCCCUUGUUUACGUGCCGCGCCGUGAUUUUGUUAGUGUUCUAGGCUCGCGUCUCUAGCACAGUCUAGCCUAGGACCAGCACAGUACCGUCGUUGAGCGUUUAUUCAACUUUGCAUCUCUGAAUUGAUUAUUGCUGACCCUUUUUGCUACCAUAUUAUAAGCCUUCCCAGCUCCACAUACAUCUACGUCGUGCGUUUGACUCUCCCUGGUAAUCGCUCUAUCCAAGCUUUGAGAGUUUUUGACUACAACGGUUGCCGAUCACCGCCUGCUGCUGGGUAAGAACUGGUAAGAAUUUGAGAUUUGCUUGACAGAUUUGUGACACCCACCACCACCACUUGUUCGUAGUCUGUAGGAUCAUAUUCUGGUGUGUUUCUAUUGCUGCUAACCAUGCCAGGAUCACAAGCCGACGAGAUUGACUGGGAGAAUUUAUCGAACAAGGAGCUUCAUGAUAAGUUUCAGCAAAUGAUGACUGAACAGGUGCAAGAUGUGCUGAACAAUUUUGAAGAGGCCAUGGAGAAGAUCACUGGCCUUGAGAAGACGUUCGAAACAAAGCUCGAUAACAAGUUUAAUGAAUUGCUCGCGCGUCUUCCACCACCACCACCCGCUGCACCUAACGCACCUCUCCAACAACAACAACAACGACUACCUCCACGUCGCGAAGCAGACCUCCGCCGAGCAAGCCGUGUUCCUCUUGCGUUUGGCCAAACUGUUGGUGCUGCUGUUGAUACUUCUGUGGCUCCUGCCGCUGAUGUGGAGGAGGAUGAUUAUGUGGGAGAUUAUGAGGAUGAGGUUGAUCAAAAUCAACACUACGUGCAGCCACCUGUACCACCACCAGCAGGUCGACCUCAGGUAUAUAUUCGUAAUGGUAGGCCUGCACCACCACCUCAGGUACGAGAUGAUGUCCAUAUUCCUAAACUGAAAUUGAAUAUUCCACCAUUUGAGGGUAGAUAUGUUCCUGAUAUAUAUCUUACUUGGGAGUUAGAAACUGAACAACGAUUUACAUGUUUACAAUAUCCUGAGGAGAGACGAGUUGCUGCUGCUGUUUGUGCUUUCACUAGUUUUGCAUGUGUAUGGUGGUCUGAACAUUGUAGAUUAUAUCCUAUUCCAACUACUUGGGCUGCUUUGAAAACUGCUAUGCGUACGCGUUGGGUUCCACCAUAUUAUCAACGUGAAUUGCUUCAAAAAUUGCAGCGUUUAAGACAAGGAAAAAAUUCUGUAGAAGAAUAUUAUCAGGAAUUACAAACUGGCAUGAUUAGAUGUGGUAUUGUUGAGGAGAAUGAAGCUAUGCUUGCACGUUUUCUGGGUGGAUUAAAUAGAGAGAUUCAGACCAUUCUAGACUAUAAGGAGUAUACUAAUAUCACUCGUUUAUUCCAUCUUGCUUGUAAGGCUGAACGUGAAGUGCAGGAUCAACAAGCAUUGGGGCGAACUAACUUUUCUGCAGGCCGACCUUCAUCAUGGACACCACGUGCAUCUUCUACUUCAACUGCACCAGCACCUCCAUCCGGUGCCACCUCCAGCCGUGAUACAAGAAAACAGGCACAACCACCAUUAUCUGCCAAGAGCGCACCUGCGGGGCCUGCACAGCGUUCUUCUUCUUCCAUGGCAUCAACAGGGCACACAAGUGAUAUUAUUUGUCGUCGUUGUAAGGGAGGAGGUCAUUAUGCGAGAGGAUGCAAAUCUCCGCGUGUGAUGAUUGCUACCGCGGAUGGUGGAUAUGAGUCCGCUAGUGACUAUGAUGAGGAGACUUUGGCUCUUAUUACACGUGAAGAACAUGGUGGAGAUGAUUCUGAUCAUGAGACGCAAUACAUGGCUCCUGAAGACGCUGACAGGUAUGAAUGUUUAGUUGCUCAACGUGUUUUGAGUGUGCAGGUCACACAAGCUGAGCAAAAUCAGAGGCACAAUUUGUUCCAUACCAAGGGAGUUGUGAAGGAACGUUCUGUGCGCGUCAUAAUAGACGGAGGGAGCUGCAACAACUUGGCUAGCAUGGAGAUGGUGGAGAAGCUUUCUCUCACCACAAGACCACAUCCACAUCCUUACUACAUCCAAUGGUUCAACAACAGCGGCAAGGUUAAGGUAACACGUACUGUUCGUGUGCAUUUUAGUAUCUCUACAUAUGCUGAUUAUGUUGAUUGUGAUGUGGUACCUAUGCAAGCAUGUUCCUUAUUACUUGGUGAUAGAGGCAAAGGUGUCCCGUCUUUCGAUGAGAUGGUGAAUUUCGCUUUGGUGGAAGUCGACUUUGACGAUCCGACUACGAACGUGCGAGGACGUCGCGCCUUAGCAAUCGCUAAACCAACUCCGAGAGGUUAUUGACCACGCCGGAGCACGAUCAACCUGACCACGAGGGUCUGUUUCCUGCGAGCAAACGAAGAACAAGCAAGAAACUAAGAUUGCAAUCUGCAUAUUGCGAAUAUAAGAUGAAAGCUUUAUUGAUCAAGGUGGGGUUCUGUGACGCCUUUGUCUGGUCGUUGAACACAAACGAAGUACGCGAAGUUGCAGCUAUGGCGAACUUUUAAUCUAAACAAAACCCAAAGUCUAAACGAUGCCCUAAGGGCUGUAUAUAUGGAGGAAGAGGGGGGAAUUUCGUGACCCUUGGUGGAGGGGUCCGAAAUCAACCCUAUCUCUUGUUUCCCCACACAUACGGACUCUAAAAAUAGCCUAUACUUAUGUAUUUCGAAAUUACAUGGGCCUGGCCCAAUAAUAAGGUGACGCAACACCUAAAAUAGCCUCGGGACGAAAUUUAUGAAGUGGCAUCUUGUAUAUUUCGUCCAAGGCUUCAUGCACCCAUUAUGGUGGCUUCAAAGUCCUGAAAUCAUCACUUGUAACUCCGUUCUUGUUCCCCUUGCGCAUGCCAUCAUCUCCAUGCUUGUUCUUGCUCCAAUGUUCAUCCUUCUCCAAGCUAGACCCUUCAUUUGUAAGCAAAACAAAUGUAUCCAAUUUAGGCAGCAUCAUAUUCUCAUGAACAUUAGAAUCAUUACCAAGAAACGAAAGUACCUGGUAAUUUAGUUGGCGUGCACGAGCUCUAGUAAUUGGUCCAGUAUGUAUAGCAGCAGGGGCUGUGGGUGUAACAAUUGUAUUGAUGUCCUCAUCAUCCUCCCCUUCUUGAAAUGAAGUCGUCCUCGACGGAAGUUCAUCUUCCUCACCCAAAUAAGGCUUCAAAUCUGCAAUGUUAAAAGUGGGACUAACCCCAAAAUCUGCAGGCAGCUCAAGUUUAUAUGCAUUAUCAUUUAUUUUCUCUAACACCUUAAAGGGACCAUCAGCACGUGGCAUUAACUUUGAUUUGCGCAAAUCAGGAAAUCUAUCCUUACGCAAAUGUAACCAAACAAGAUCUCCAGGUGCAAACACAACAUGUUUUCUACCCUUAUCUAUAGCAAGUUUAUAUUUAGCAUUCAUGCGCUCAAUGUUUUCCUUAGUUAACUCAUGCAUUUUUAAAAUCAAUUCAGCACGUUGUUUAGCAUCAAAAUUAACCUUCUCCGAAGAUGGAAGAGGCAACAAAUCAAUAGGUGCACGAGGUAGGAAACCAUACACAACUUCAAAAGGGCACAUCUUAGUAGUAGAAUGCAAUGAACGAUUAUAAGCAAAUUCAAUAUGAGGCAAGCAUUCCUCCCACAUUUUCUUAUUAUUCUUCAAAACAGCCCUAAGCAUAGUAGACAACGUUCUAUUGACUACUUCAGUUUGUCCAUCAGUUUGGGGGUGACAAGUAGUACUAAAAAGCAGUUUAGUCCCCAACUUAGCCCAUAAACAUCUCCAAAAGUGGCUAAGAAAUUUAGUAUCACGAUCUGAAACAAUAGUAUUUGGCACACCAUGCAAGCGAAUAAUUUCACGAAAGAACAAAUCAGCAACAUUAACAACAUCAUCGCUUUUAUGACAUGGUAUAAAGUGUGCCAUUUUCGAGAAUCUAUCCACGACAACAAAUAUGCUAUCCCUCCCCUUCUUUGUUCGAGGUAAACCUAAAGCAAAGUCCAUAGAUAUAUCCUCCCAAGGAACACUAGGUACAGGCAAAGGCAUAUAUAAACCAUGAGGAUUGAGUCGUGACUUAGCUUUUUGACAUGUAGUGCAUCGAGCAAUAAAACGCUCAACAUCCCGUCUCAUCUUUGGCCAAAAGAAAUGUGUAGCAAGUACGUCCUCCGUCUUCUUCACGCCAAAGUGUCCCAUUAAUCCUCCUCCAUGCGCCUCCUGCAACAACAAAAGACGAACGGAGCUAGCUGGAAUGCAUAGCUUGUUAGCACGAAACACAAAUCCAUCGUUAACGACAAACUUGUUCCACAUUCUUCCUUCUUUACAAUUCUGCAUUACAUCUUUAAAAUCAGCAUCAUGCACAUAUUGAUCUUUGAUGGUCUCUAAACCAAAUAUUUUGAAGUCAAGUUGUGAAAGCAUAGUAUAGCGACGAGACAAUGCAUCAGCAAUAACAUUUUCUUUUCCCUUCUUGUGUUUAAUGACAUAAGGGAAAGUCUCAAUAAAUUCAACCCAUUUAGCAUGUCUACGAUUCAGUUUAGCUUGACUUUUAAUAUGUUUCAAAGAUUCAUGAUCAGAAUGUAUAACAAAUUCUUUGGGCCAUAAAUAAUGUUGCCAUGUUUCUAAAGUCCGAACAAGAGCAUAUAAUUCUUUAUCAUAAGUAGAAUAAUUCAGACUAGGCCCACUCAAUUUUUCAGAAAAGUAUGCAACAGGUUUGCCAUCUUGUAAUAACACACCUCCUAAUCCAAUUCCACUAGCAUCACAUUCAAGCUCAAAAGUCUUAUUAAAAUCAGGAAGUUGGAGUAAAGGAGCAUGUGUCAACUUAUCUUUCAAUACCGUGAAGGCUUCUUCCUGUGCGGUACCCCAAAGAAGAGGCACAUCUUUCUUUGUAAGCUCAUUGAGAGGUGCAGCAAUGGUGCUGAAAUCUCUCACAAAACGCCUAUAGAAUCCAGCGAGGCCAAGAAAACUCCUCACUUGUGUGACCGUUUUGGGCUGCGGCCAACUCUCAAUAGCUUCAAUCUUGGCUUUAUCAACUUCAAUUCCCUGUGGAGUAACAACAUAGCCAAGAAAAGAUACUCGGUCGGUGCAAAAGGUGCACUUCCCAAGGUUACCAAACAAACGUGCAUCACGUAGAGCAAUAAAAACAGCACGUAAAUGUUCCAAAUGUUCUUCCAAAGAUCUGCUAUAAAUCAAUAUGUCAUCAAAGUAAACUACCACAAAUCGUCCAAUGAAAGCACGUAAAACUUCGUUCAUUAAUCUCAUGAAAGUACUAGGUGCAUUAGUUAACCCAAAAGGCAUGACUAACCACUCAUAUAAUCCAAACUUAGUUUUUGAUAGAGGCGAGGGUCCCGAUCUUUCGAUGAGAUGAUGGAUAUCGCUUUGGUGGAAGUCGACUUUGACGAUCCGACUACGAACGUGCGAGGACGUCGCGCCUUAGCAAUCGCUAAACCAACUCCGAGAGGUUAUUGACCACGCCGGAGCACGAUCAACCUGACCACGAGGGUCUGUUUCCUGCGAGCAAACGAAGAACAAGCAAGAAACUAAGAUUGCAAUCUGGAUAUUGCGAAUAUAAGAUGAAAGCUUUAUUGAUCAAGGUGGGGUUCUGUGACGCCUUUGUCUGGUCGUUGAACACAAACGAAGUACGCGAAGUUGCAGCUAUGGCGAACUUUUAAUCUAAACAAAACCCAAAGUCUAAACGAUGCCCUAAGGGCUGUAUAUAUGGAGGAAGAGGGGGGGGAAUUUCGUGGCCCUUGGUGGAGGGAUCCGAAAUCAACCCUAUCUCUUGUUUCCCCACACAUACAGACUCUAAAAAUAGCCUAUACUUAUGUAUUUCGAAAUUACAUGGGCCUGGCCCAAUAAUAAGGUGACGCAGCACCUAAAAUAGCCUCGGGACGAAAUUUAUGAAGUGGCAUCUUGUAUAUUUCGUCCAAGGCUUCAUGCACCCAUUAUGGUGGCUUCAAAGUCCUGAAAUCAUCACUUGUAACUCCGUUCUUGUUCCCCUUGCGCAUGCCAUCAUCUCCAUGCUUGUUCUUGCUCCAAUGUUCAUCCUUCUCCAAGCUAGGCCCUUCAUUUGUAAGCAAAACAAAUGUAUCCAAUUUAGGCAGCAUCAUAUUCUCAUGAACAUUAGAAUCAUUACCAAGAAACGAAAGUACCUGGUAAUUUAGUUGGCGUGCACGAGCUCUAGUAAUUGGUCCAGUAUGUAUAGCAGCAGGGGCUGUGGGUGUAACAAUUGUAUUGAUGUCCUCAUCAGAAGUUGAUAAAGACAAGAUUGAAGCUAUUGAGAGUUGGCCGCAACCCAAAACGGUCACACAAGUGAGGAGUUUUCUUGGCCUCGCUGGAUUCUAUAGGCAUUUUGUGAGAGAUUUCAGCACCAUUGCUGCACCUCUCAAUGAGCUUACAAAGAAAGAUGUGCCUUUUCUUUGGGGUACCGCACAGGAAGAAGCCUUCACGGUAUUGAAAGAUAAGUUGACACAUGCUCCUUUACUCCAACUUCCUGAUUUUAAUAAGACUUUUGAGCUUGAAUGUGAUGCUAGUGGAAUUGGAUUAGGAGGUGUGUUAUUACAAGAUGGCAAACCUGUUGCAUACUUUUCUGAAAAAUUGAGUGGGCCUAGUCUGAAUUAUUCUACUUAUGAUAAAGAAUUAUAUGCUCUUGUUCGGACUUUAGAAACAUGGCAACAUUAUUUAUGGCCCAAAGAAUUUGUUAUACAUUCUGAUCAUGAAUCUUUGAAACAUAUUAAAAGUCAAGCUAAACUGAAUCGUAGACAUGCUAAAUGGGUUGAAUUUAUUGAGACUUUCCCUUAUGUCAUUAAACACAAGAAGGGAAAAGAAAAUGUUAUUGCUGAUGCAUUGUCUCGUCGCUAUACUAUGCUUUCACAACUUGACUUCAAAAUAUUUGGUUUAGAGACCAUCAAAGAUCAAUAUGUGCAUGAUGCUGAUUUUAAAGAUGUAAUGCAGAAUUGUAAAGAAGGAAGAAUGUGGAACAAGUUUGUCGUUAACGAUGGAUUUGUGUUUCGUGCUAACAAGCUAUGCAUUCCAGCUAGCUCCGUUCGUCUUUUGUUGUUGCAGGAGGCGCAUGGAGGAGGAUUAAUGGGACACUUUGGCGUGAAGAAGACGGAGGACGUACUUGCUACACAUUUCUUUUGGCCAAAGAUGAGACGGGAUGUUGAGCGUUUUAUUGCUCGAUGCACUACAUGUCAAAAAGCUAAGUCACGACUCAAUCCUCAUGGUUUAUAUAUGCCUUUGCCUGUACCUAGUGUUCCUUGGGAGGAUAUAUCUAUGGACUUUGCUUUAGGUUUACCUCGAACAAAGAAGGGGAGGGAUAGCAUAUUUGUUGUCGUGGAUAGAUUCUCGAAAAUGGCACACUUUAUACCAUGUCAUAAAAGCGAUGAUGUUGUUAAUGUUGCUGAUUUGUUCUUUCGUGAAAUUAUUCGCUUGCAUGGUGUGCCAAAUACUAUUGUUUCAGAUCGUGAUACUAAAUUUCUUAGCCACUUUUGGAGAUGUUUAUGGGCUAAGUUGGGGACUAAACUGCUUUUUAGUACUACUUGUCACCCCCAAACUGAUGGACAAACUGAAGUAGUCAAUAGAACGUUGUCUACUAUGCUUAGGGCUGUUUUGAAGAAUAAUAAGAAAAUGUGGGAGGAAUGCUUGCCUCAUAUUGAAUUUGCUUAUAAUCGUUCAUUGCAUUUCUACUACUAAGAUGUGCCCUUUUGAAGUUGUGUAUGGUUUCCUACCUCGUGCACCUAUUGAUUUGUUGCCUCUUCCAUCUUCGGAGAAGGUUAAUUUUGAUGCUAAACAACGUGCUGAAUUGAUUUUAAAAAUGCAUGAGUUAACUAAGGAAAACAUUAAGCGUAUGAAUGCUAAAUAUAAACUUGCUGGAGAUAAGGGUAGAAAACAUGUUGUGUUUGCACCUGGAGAUCUUGUUUGGUUACAUUUGCGUAAGGAUAGAUUUCCUGAUUUGCGCAAAUCAAAGCUAAUGCCACGUGCUGAUGGUCCCUUUAAGGUGUUAGAGAAAAUAAAUGAUAAUGCAUAUAAACUUGAGCUGCCUGCAGAUUUUGGGGUUAGUCCCACUUUUAACAUUGCAGAUUUGAAGCCUUAUUUGGGUGAGGAAGAUGAACUUCCGUCGAGGACGACUUCAUUUCAAGAAGGGGAGGAUGAUGAGGACAUCAAUACAAUUGUUACACCCACAGCCCCUGCUGCUAUACAUACUGGACCAAUUACUAGAGCCCGUGCACGCCAACUAAAUUACCAGGUACUUUCGUUUCUUGGUAAUGAUUCUAAUGUUCAUGAGAAUAUGAUGCUGCCUAAAUUGGAUACAUUUGUUUUGCUUACAAAUGAAGGGCCUAGCUUGCAGAAGGAUGAACAUUGGAGCAAGAACAAGCAUGGAGAUGAUGGCAUGCGCAAGGGGAACAAGAACGGAGUUACAAGUGAUGAUUUCAGGACUUUGAAGCCACCAUAAUGGGUGCAUGAAGCCUUGGACGAAAUAUACAAGAUGCCACUUCAUAAAUUUCGUCCCGAGGCUAUUUUAGGUGUUGCGUCACCUUAUUAUUGGGCCAGGCCCAUGUAAUUUCGAAAUACAUAAGUAUAGGCUAUUUUUAGAGUCCGUAUGUGUGGGGAAACAAGAGAUAGGGUUGAUUUCGGACCCCUCCACCAAGGGCCACGAAAUUUCCCCCUCUUCCUCCAUAUAUACAGCCCUUAGGGCAUCGUUUAGACUUUGGGUUUUGUUUAGAUUAAAAGUUCGCCAUAGCUGCAACUUCGCGUACUUCGUUUGUGUUCAACCACCAGACAAAGGCGUCACAGAACCCCACCUUGAUCAAUAAAGCUUUCAUCUUAUAUUCGCAAUAUUCAGAUUGCAAUCUCAGUUUCUUGCUUGUUCUUCGUUUGCUCGCAGGAAACAGACCCUCGUGGUCAGGUUGAUCGUGCUCCGGCGUGGUCAAUAACCUCUCGGAGUUGGUUUAGCGAUUGCUAAGGCGCGACGUCCUCGCACGUUCGUAGUCGGAUCGUCAAAGUCGACUUCCACCAAAGCGAAAUCCAUCAUCUCAUCGAAAGAGGGGACACCUCCGCCUCUAUCAUCAUGUCAUCAUGUGCAUUGCAUUGCAUACGUGUUCAUCUCUUGCAUUCGAGCAUUUUCCCCGUUGUCCGUUUUGCAUUCCGGCGCUUCGUUCUCCUCCAGUGGUCAUUUCUACCUUUCUUUCGUGUGUGGGGAUUAAACAUUUCCGGAUUGGACCGAGACUUGCCAAGCGGCCUUGGUUUACUACCGAUAGACCGCCUGUCAAGUUUCAUACCAUUUGGACUUCGUUUGAUGCUCCAACGGUUAACCGAUGGACCGAAAAGGCCUCGUGUGUGUUGCAGCCCAACACCCCUCCAAGUUAGCCCAAAACCCUCUCCAUUGUCUAGAGCGUUCGAUCACCAUCGCGUGGCCGAAAACCGCACCUCAUUUGGACUCUCCUAGCUCCCUCCACCUCUAUAUAAAGAACCCCCCAUUUCAAUUCACGGACGAAACCCUAGAACCACCCACCUCUCGCGUCGGCGGACAUUUUUUUGUCCGGCCGGACACGUCCGGAUCCACCCGCCGCCGCCACGUCAGCUCCCGCGAGCCCCACAUCGCCGCCGCCGCUCGGGGCCCGCCAGGCUCGCGGGAGGCCCUCCCGGGCCCAUCGACCGCGCCGCCCCGCGCCCUCCUCCGUCCCUACGCCCGAUGCCCGGCGCUGCCGCGCGCCAUUACCGGCCUCGCCGCUCCGGCGAGUCACCGCCGCCCUGCAGCACCCCGACGCCGCCGGCCGCCGCCUCCCCGAGGCCUCGCCGACUGAUAGAGGCUAAGGUGUCCCGUCUUUCGAUGAGAUGAUGGAUAUCGCUUUGGUGGAAGUCGACUUUGACGAUCCGACUACGAACGUGCAAAGACGUCGCGCCUUAGCAAUCGCUAAACCAACUCCGAGAGGUUAUUGACCACGCCGGAGCACGAUCAACCUGACCACGAGGGUCUGUUUCCUGCGAGCAAACGAAGACCAAGCAAGAAACUGAGAUUGCAAUCUGGAUAUUGCGAAUAUAAGAUGAAAGCUUUAUUGAUCAAGGUGGGGUUCUGUGACGCCUUUGUCUGGUCGUUGAACACAAACGAAGUACGCGAGUUGCAGCUAUGGCGAACUUUUAAACUAAACAAAACCCAAAGUCUAAACGAUGCCCUAAGGGCUGUAUAUAUGGAGGAAGAGGGGGGGAAUUUCGUGGCCCUUGGUGGAGGGGUCCGAAAUCAACCCUAUCUCUUGUUUCCCCACACAUACGGACUCUAAAAAUAGCCUAUACUUAUGUAUUUCGAAAUUACAUGGGCCUGGCCCAAUAAUAAGGUGACGCAGCACCUAAAAUAGCCUCGGGACGAAAUUUAUGAAGUGGCAUCUUGUAUAUUUCGUCCAAGGCUUCAUGCACCCAUUAUGGUGGCUUCAAAGUCCUGAAAUCAUCACUUGUAACUCCGUUCUUGUUCCCCUUGCGCAUGCCAUCAUCUCCAUGCUUGUUCUUGCUCCAAUGUUCAUCCUUCUCCAAGCUAGGCCCUUCAUUUGUAAGCAAAACAAAUGUAUCCAAUUUAGGCAGCAUCAUAUUCUCAUGAACAUUAGAAUCAUUACCAAGAAACGAAAGUANNNNNNNNNNNNNNNNNNNNNNNNNNNNNNNNNNNNNNNNNNNNNNNNNNNNNNNNNNNNNNNNNNNNNNNNNNNNNNNNNNNNNNNNNNNNNNNNNNNNCCCGAGGCUAUUUUAGGUGCUGCGUCACCUUAUUAUUGGGCCAGGCCCAUGUAAUUUCGAAAUACAUAAGUAUAGGCUAUUUUUAGAGUCCGUAUGUGUGGGGAAACAAGAGAUAGGGUUGAUUUCGGACCCCUCCACCAAGGGCCACGAAAUUCCCCCCUCUUCCUCCAUAUAUACAGCCCUUAGGGCAUCGUUUAGACUUUGGGUUUUGUUUAGAUUAAAAGUUCGCCAUAGCUGCAACUUCGCGUACUUCGUUUGUGUUCAACGACCAGACAAAGGCGUCACAGAACCCCACCUUGAUCAAUAAAGCUUUCAUCUUAUAUUCGCAAUAUCCAGAUUGCAAUCUUAGUUUCUUGCUUGUUCUUCGUUUGCUCGCAGGAAACAGACCCUCGUGGUCAGGUUGAUCGUGCUCCGGCGUGGUCAAUAACCUCUCGGAGUUGGUUUAGCGAUUGCUAAGGCGCGACGUCCUCGCACGUUCGUAGUCGGAUCGUCAAAGUAGACUUCCACCAAAGCGAAAUUCACCAUCUCAUUGAAAGACGGGACACCUUUGCCUCUAUCACGAGAGAAUGCAAAUCUCCGCGUGUGAUGAUUGCUACCGCGGAUGGUGGAUAUGAGUCCGCUAGUGACUAUGAUGAGGAGACUUUGGCUCUUAUUACACGUGAAGAACAUGGUGGAGAUGAUUCUGAUCAUGAGACGCAAUACAUGGCUCCUGAAGACGCUGACAGGUAUGAAUGUUUAGUUUCUCAACGUGUUUUGAGUGUGCAGGUCACACAAGCUGAGCAAAAUCAGAGGCACAAUUUGCUCCAUACCAAGGGAGUUGUGAAGGAACGUUCUGUGCGCGUCAUCAUAGACGGAGGUACUUGCAACAACUUGGCUACCAUGGAGAUGGUGGAGAAGCUUUCUCUCACCACAAGACCACGUCCACAUCCUUACUACAUCCAAUGGUUCAACAACAGCGGCAAGGUUAAGGUAACACGUACUGUUCGUGUGCAUUUUAGUAUCUCUACACAUGCUGAUUAUGUUGAUUGUGACGUGGUACCUAUGCAAGCAUGUUCCUUAUUACUUGGUAGACCAUGGCAAUUUGAUAAAAAAUCUGUACACCAUGGUAGAAACAAUCACUAUACUCUUGUUCAUAAGGAUAACAAUAUUACUUUGCUUCCUAUGACUCCUAAUUCCAUUUUGAAAGAUGAUAUUAAUAGAGCUAAUAAAGCACAACAAGAGAAGAAUAAGAGUGAAAAUCAGAUUGUGGCAAAAGAAUUUGAGCAACAAAUGAAGCCUAAUAAUAAACCAUCUAGUGUUGCUUCUGAAAUUAAAUUGAAAAGUGCAUGUUUAUUUGCCACCAAAUCUGAUAUUGAUAAGCUAGAUUUCAGCAAAUCUGUUUGCUAUGCUUUUGUGUGCAAAGAGGCAUUAUUUUCAUUCGAGGACAUGCCUUCCUCUUUGCCUCCUGCUGUCACUAACAUUUUGCAGGAGUUCGCUGACGUUUUUCCACAAGACGUGCCACCGGGAUUACCGCCUAUUCGAGGGAUUGAGCAUCAGAUUGACUUAAUUCCCGGUGCUUCACUGCCAAACCGUGCACCAUACCGUACCAAUCCAGAGGAGACGAAGGAGAUUAUGCGUCAAGUACAAGAGCUUCUCGACAAAGGUUAUAUACGCGAAUCCCUUAGUCCUUGUGCUGUUCCUAUUAUUCUAGUGCCGAAAAAGGAUGGUACAUCACGUAUGUGUGUUGAUUGUAGAGGCAUUAAUAAUAUUACUAUUCGUUAUCGUCAUCCUAUUCCUAGGCUAGAUGAUAUGCUUGAUGAAUUGAGUGGCUCUACAAUAUUCUCCAAAGUUGAUUUGCGUAGUGGCUACCAUCAAAUUCGUAUGAAAUUGGGAGAUGAAUGGAAAACUGCAUUUAAAACUAAGUUUGGAUUAUAUGAGUGGUUAGUCAUGCCUUUUGGGUUAACUAAUGCACCUAGUACUUUCAUGAGAUUAAUGAACGAAGUUUUACGUGCUUUCAUUGGACGAUUUGUGGUAGUUUACUUUGAUGACAUAUUGAUUUAUAGCAGAUCUUUGCAGGAACAUUUGGAACAUUUACGUGCUGUUUUUAUUGCUCUACGUGAUGCACGUUUGUUUGGUAACCUUGGGAAGUGCACCUUUUGCACCGACCGAGUAUCUUUUCUUGGCUAUGUUGUUACUCCACAGGGAAUUGAAGUUGAUAAAGCCAAGAUUGAAGCUAUUGAGAGUUGGCCGCAGCCCAAAACGGUCACACAAGUGAGGAGUUUUCUUGGCCUCGCUGGAUUCUAUAGGCGAUUUGUGAGAGAUUUCAGCACCAUUGCUGCACCUCUCAAUGAGCUUACAAAGAAAGAUGUGCCUUUUCCUUGGGGUACCGCACAGGAAGAAGCCUUCACGGUAUUGAAAGAUAAGUUGACACAUGCUCCUUUACUCCAACUUCCUGAUUUUAAUAAGACUUUUGAGCUUGAAUGUGAUGCUAGUGGAAUUGGAUUAGGAGGUGUGUUAUUACAAGAUGGCAAACCUGUUGCAUACUUUUCUGAAAAAUUGAGUGGGCCUAGUCUGAAUUAUUCUACUUAUGAUAAAGAAUUAUAUGCUCUUGUUCGGACUUUAGAAACAUGGCAACAUUAUUUAUGGCCCAAAGAAUUUGUUAUACAUUCUGAUCAUGAAUCUUUGAAACAUAUUAAAAGUCAAGCUAAACUGAAUCGUAGACAUGCUAAAUGGGUUGAAUUCAUUGAGACUUUCCCUUAUGUCAUUAAACACAAGAAGGGAAAAGAAAAUGUUAUUGCUGAUGCAUUGUCUCGUCGCUAUACUAUGUGAUGAGGACAUCAAUACAAUUGUUACACCCACAGCCCCUGCUGCUAUACAUACUGGACCAAUUACUAGAGCUCGUGCACGCCAACUAAAUUACCAGGUACUUUCGUUUCUUGGUAAUGAUUAUAAUGUUCAUGAGAAUAUGAUGCUGCCUAAAUUGGAUACAUUUGUUUUGCUUACAAAUGAAGGGCCUAGCUUGGAGAAGGAUGAACAUUGGAGCAAGAACAAGCAUGGAGAUGAUGGCAUGCGCAAGGGAAACAAGAACGGAGUUACAAGUGAUGAUUUCAGGACUUUGAAGCCACCAUAAUGGGUGCAUGAAGCCUUGGACGAAAUAUACAAGACGCCACUUCAUAAAUUUCGUCCCGAGGCUAUUUUAGGUGCUGCGUCACCUUAUUAUUGGGCCAGGCCCAUGUAAUUUCGAAAUACAUAAGUAUAGGCUAUUUUUAGAGUCCGUAUGUGUGGGGAAACAAGAGAUAGGGUUGAUUUCGGACUCCUCCACCAAGGGCCACGAAAUUCCCCCCCUCUUCCUCCAUAUAUACAGCCCUUAGGGCAUCGUUUAGACUUUGGGUUUUUGUUUAGAUUAAAAGUUCGCCAUAGCUGCAACUUCGCGUACUUCGUUUGUGUUCAACGACCAGACAAAGGCGUCACAGAACCCCACCUUGAUCAAUAAAGCUUUCAUCUUAUAUUCUGAUGAGGACAUCAAUACAAUUGUUACACCCACAGCCCCUGCUGCUAUACAUACUGGACCAAUUACUAGAGCUCGUGCACGCCAACUAAAUUACCAGGUACUUUCGUUUCUUGGUAAUGAUUCUAAUGUUCAUGAGAAUAUGAUGCUGCCUAAAUUGGAUACAUUUGUUUUGCUUACAAAUGAAGGGCCUAGCUUGGAGAAGGAUGAACAUUGGAGCAAGAACAAGCAUGGAGAUGAUGGCAUGCGCAAGGGAAACAAGAACGGAGUUACAAGUGAUGAUUUCAGGACUUUGAAGCCACCAUAAUGGGUGAAUGAAGCCUUGGACGAAAUAUACAAGACGCCACUUCAUAAAUUUCGUCCCGAGGCUAUUUUAGGUGCUGCGUCACCUUAUUAUUGGGCCAGGCCCAUGUAAUUUCGAAAUACAUAAGUAUAGGCUAUUUUUAGAGUCCGUAUGUGUGGGGAAACAAGAGAUAGGGUUGAUUUCGGACCCCUCCACCAAGGGCCACGAAAUUCUCCCCCUCUUCCUCCAUAUAUACAGCCCUUAGGGCAUCGUUUAGACUUUGGGUUUUGUUUAAAUUAAAAGUUCGCCAUAGCUGCAACUUCGCGUACUUCGUUUGUGUUCAACGACCAGACAAAGGCGUCACAGAACCCCACCUUGAUCAAUAAAGCUUUCAUCUUAUAUUCGCAAUAUCCAGAUUGCAAUCUUAGUUUCUUGCUUGUUCUUCGUUUGCUCGCAGGAAACAGACCCUCGUGGUCAGGUUGAUCGUGCUCCAGCGUGGUCAAUAACCUCUCGGAGUUGGUUUAGCGAUUGCUAAGGCGCGACGUCCUCGCACGUUCGUAGUCGGAUCGUCAAAGUCGACUUCCACCAAAGCGAAAUCCAUCAUCUCAUCGAAAGACGGGACACCUUUGCCUCUAUCAACGUAUGUGUGUUGAUUGUAGAGGCAUUAAUAAUAUUACUAUUCGUUAUCGUCAUCCUAUUCCUAGGCUAGAUGAUAUGCUUGAUGAAUUAAGUGGCUCUACAAUAUUCUCCAAAGUUGAUUUGCGUAGUGGCUACCAUCAAAUUCGUAUGAAAUUGGGAGAUGAAUGGAAAACUGCAUUUAAAACUAAGUUUGGAUUAUAUGAGUGGUUAGUCAUGCCUUUUGGGUUAACUAAUGCACCUAGUACUUUCAUGAGAUUAAUGAACGAAGUUUUACGUGCUUUCAUUGGACGAUUUGUGGUAGUUUACUUUGAUGACAUAUUGAUUUAUAGCAGAUCUUUGGAGGAACAUUUGGAACAUUUACGUGCUGUUUUUAUUGCUCUACGUGAUGCACGUUUGUUUGGUAACCUUGGGAAGUGCACCUUUUGCACCGACCGAGUAUCUUUUCUUGGCUAUGUUGUUACUCCACAGGGAAUUGAAGUUGAUAAAGCCAAGAUUGAAGCUAUUGAGAGUUGGCCGCAGCCUAAAACGGUCACACAAGUGAGGAGUUUUCUUGGCCUCGCUGGAUUCUAUAGGCGUUUUGUGAGAGAUUUUAGCACCAUUGCUGCACCUCUCAAUGAGCUUACAAAGAAAGAUGUGCCUUUUCUUUGGGGUACCGCACAGGAAGAAGCCUUCACGGUAUUGAAAGAUAAGUUGACACAUGCUCCUUUACUCCAACUUCCUGAUUUUAAUAAGACUUUUGAGCUUGAAUGUGAUGCUAGUGGAAUUGGAUUAGGAGGUGUGUUAUUACAAGAUGGCAAACCUGUUGCAUACUUUUCUGAAAAAUUGAGUGGGCCUAGUCUGAAUUAUUCUACUUAUGAUAAAGAAUUAUAUGCUCUUGUUCGGACUUUAGAAACAUGGCAACAUUAUUUAUGGCCCAAAGAAUUUGUUAUACAUUCUGAUCAUGAAUCUUUGAAACAUAUUAAAAGUCAAGCUAAACUGAAUCGUAGACAUGCUAAAUGGGUUGGAUUCAUUGAGAUUUCCCUUAUGUCAUUAAAGACAAGAAGGGAAAAGAAAAUGUCAUUGCUGAUGCAUUGUCUCGUCGCUAUACUAUGCUUUCACAACUUGACUUCAAAAUAUUUGGUUUGGAGACCAUCAAAGAUCAAUAUGUGCAUGAUGCUGAUUUUAAAGAUGUAAUGCAGAAUUGUAAAGAAGGAAGAAUGUGGAACAAGUUUGUUGUUAACGAUGGAUUUGUGUUUCGUGCUAACAAGCUAUGCAUUCCAGCUAGCUCCGUUCGUCUUUUGUUGUUGCAGGAGGCGCAUGGAGGAGGAUUAAUGGGACACUUUGGCGUGAAGAAGACGGAGGACGUACUUGCUACACAUUUCUUUUGGCCAAAGAUGAGACGGGAUGUUGAGCGUUUUAUUGCUCGCUGCACUACAUGUCAAAAAGCUAAGUCACGACUCAAUCCUCAUGGUUUAUAUAUGCCUUUGCCUGUACCUAGUGUUCCUUGGGAGGAUAUAUCUAUGGACUUUGUUUUAGGUUUACCUCAAACAAAGAAGGGGAGGGAUAGCAUAUUUGUUGUCGUGGAUAGAUUCUCGAAAAUGGCACACUUUAUACCAUGUCAUAAAAGCGAUGAUGCUGUUAAUGUUGCUGAUUUGUUCUUUCGUGAAAUUAUUCGCUUGCAUGGUGUGCCAAAUAUUAUUGUUUCAGAUCGUGAUACUAAAUUUCUUAGCCACUUUUGAAGAUGUUUAUGGGCUAAGUUGGGGACUAAACUGCUUUUUAGUACUACUUGUCACCCCCAAACUGAUGGACAAACUGAAGUAGUCAAUAGAACGUUGGGGACUAAACUGAAGUAGUCAACAACGUGCUGAAUUGAUUUUAAAAAUGCAUGAGUUAACUAAGGAAAACAUUGAGCGUAUGAAUGCUAAAUAUAAACUUGCUGGAGAUAAGGGUAGAAAACAUGUUGUGUUUGCACCUGGAGAUCUUGUUUGGUUACAUUUGCGUAAGGAUAGAUUUCCUGAUUUGUGCAAAUCAAAGCUAAUGCCACGUGCUGAUGGUCCCUUUAAGGUGUUAGAGAAAAUAAAUGAUAAUGCAUAUAAACUUGAGCUGCCUGCAGAUUUUGGGGUUAGUCCCACUUUUAACAUUGCAGAUUUGAAGCCUUAUUUGGGUGAGGAAGAUGAACUUUCGUCGAGGACGACUUCAUUUCAAGAAGGGGAGGAUGAUGAGGACAUCAAUACAAUUGUUACACCCACAGCCCCUGCUGCUAUACAUACUGGACCAAUUACUAGAGCUCGUGCAUGCCAACUAAAUUACCAGGUACUUUCGUUUCUUUGUAAUGAUUCUAAUGUUCAUGAGAAUAUGAUGCUGCCUAAAUUGGAUACAUUUGUUUUGCUUACAAAUGAAGGGCCUAGCUUGGAGAAGGAUGAACAUUGGAGCAAGAACAAGCAUGGAGAUGAUGGCAUGCGCAAGGGAAACAAGAACGGAGUUACAAGUGAUGAUUUCAGGACUUUGAAGCCACCAUAAUGGGUGCAUGAAGCCUUGGACGAAAUAUACAAGAUGCCACUUCAUAAAUUUCGUCCCGAGGCUAUUUUAGGUGCUGCGUCACCUUAUUAUUGGGCCAGGCCCAUGUAAUUUCGAAAUACAUAAGUAUAGGCUAUUUUUAGAGUCCGUAUGUGUGGGGAAACAAGAGAUAGGGUUGAUUUCGCACCCCUCCACCAAGGGCCACGAAAUUCCCCUCUCUUCCUCCAUAUAUACAGCCCUUAGGGCAUCGUUUAGACUUUGGGUUUUGUUUAGAUUAAAAGUUCGCCAUAGCUGCAACUUCGCGUACUUCGUUUGUGUUCAACGACCAGACAAAAGCGUCACAGAACCCCACCUUGAUCAAUAAAGCUUUCAUCUUAUAUUCGCAAUAUCCAGAUUGCAAUCUUAGUUUCUUGCUUGUUCUUCGUUUGCUCGCAGGAAACAGACCCUCGUGGUCAGGUUGAUCGUGCUCCGGCGUGGUCAAUAACCUCUCGGAGUUGGUUUAGCGAUUGCUAAGGCGCGACGUCUUCGCACGUUCGUAGUCGGAUCGUCAAAGUCGACUUCCACCAAAGCGAAAUCCACCAUCUCAUCGAAAGACGGGACACCUUUGCCUCUAUCAUGAUGUAACACCUUUGGACUUGUAGUUUGACUCGGAUUCUGCUGCAGCAUCAGAUUGUUUCGUUCACAACUCAACGCUCCGGACGAAUUUGAAGGUGAUUCCAAUUGGGUUGGAAAGUGCACGAAAUCUAGUUUGCAACAAAAAAAGAAUCACCCAAUUCGGAGUCCGUAUGAAAAACCUGUGUGCGUUUUGAGUCAGGUAUGUCUGUGCAGUCCGAAUCUGAAUCCAGAACGUGAGAGACUUGGACUCUAUCUUCUCUUGGGCCAAAAGUGACGUGAGAGAACUUUUUGGACAGAAAAUAAACAUCUCUUUCUUCCUUAUCUUCAUAUGUGGAUUGUACAAAUGUCCCAUACACCUGCAAUUAGACAAAACACAAAAGUGUGUGAAGUAUUUUUGUUCUGGAUAACAUAAAUAGAUUAUUGAAUAAUUUGCACUAGAAAUCACCUGACAAAUAUGCAUAUAUGCAAUAUUUUUGGUCAUAUCCAAGGUAGUCAUGUCCUCAUCAGUAAGCCUAUGCGGGAGUUAUGGUGGUGGUGGUGGUUGAUGAAGAAGCAAUCAUCCAUAAGUAGCCUAAACACCUUAGGAGACUCGAAUCACCCCUCAAGCAACCUUUAAUGCGAUGGGUAACAAAAUUGGUUAGGUUGCGGAAGUCGAUGGUGGUUAUGCGGAGGUUGUGGUUGUAGCCCUAGGCAAAGAUGCCAAAGUUCCAAAUAUUUGAUGGAGUCAAAUGGUUAUGGUAGUAUUUUUUUUGGAAGGGGGAUGUCAAGAGCUUUUCAAUGAGCUAAAGAACGCGAAAAUCGGACUCCGGAUGAAUUAGUUAUGGACAAAACGGUGAAACGGGGAAGGCUGAAAUCCCAGGGGCCGGACAUCCGGGGGUGGGGGCUGGAUAUCCGGGGGCUGAUGUCCAGAACCGUGCGGGUUUUAUGCUCCAGGAGCUGGAUGUCCGGCCCGAUGGCCCGGAUGUCCGGCCCGACGAAUCCAGAUCUUGUUUGGGGCUGAAAUUGAUGAUUCCAAGGGCAAAAUUUGAUGGAUUUUGUGGAUGGAAAGUGGGGAAAAUUGGGGAUAUGCUGGAUCCACUCGAAACCAAGCAAAUCCAUGGAUCAAAAUCAACAAAACUUCGUCAAACCAACAAAUCACAAAAAAAAAUUGGGGCUAUUUUUGUGGGGAAUUUUCGAAAUUGGGGAAGAACACAACAAAAUUAGGUUAGAAAACACAACGGCGAGGCUCCGAAAUCGUGAUCAACCUGGCUCAUGAUACCAAGAUGAUGUAGGGUAGAACCCUAAUCGGCCGAUAUUUCACGAAAGGAGCGGAUCCCACAAAGAACACGAGGAACACGAGGGUGAAAACGAGGGGAAACACGAGAGAAUCACUCAACCAACAAGAAAUAGUCACACAUGUGCUAGAUCCUCGAGUACAUAAAGUAAGAUACACGAUCCAUGAUCAACUAGGGAUGAUACACGGUAACCGGUCUUCUCCGUGAGGAGGUCUUGAAGUUCUUCUCCAAAAGGAGGUCUUGAAUCCAAAGGGAUCUUCUCCAUAGAGGCCGCGGUCUCUCUCGUGGAGUAGAUCCGAUGUGGAUGAGCAAUGCUCUAUCUCUAAAAUGAGCUAAACCAAUGCUAACCCUAACUAGAAGGAGGUUGAUGCGGAGCAUCCCACGUUCAUCCCCAUGUACACUCCGACUACUCUCCAAGCCCUAAGAGAACAUAAGACGAGACCUCAUCUAUACACCAUUGGACACAAGGUGAACUCUCUCCUCUUCGAACCAUCACUUUCCAUACGUGAGACAUGGCUACUACCUCAUACAUGUGUGCUAUGCAUGACCAGGAACCAAGAGGAAGACCAUGGACAAGAAGGCGAGGACACCAAGCGCGAGGAACGAGAAGAAGAGCUAUGGAAGAAGCUCCAUCCACCGGACGACCGGUCGGGACCGGAUGUCCGACGCCUGAAGACCCACCGGACGACCGGCCCGGACCGGACGACCGGCAAUCCCGCACCCGAACCAAACAAGCGGACGUCCGACAAGUCCCGGACGUUCGACACACUCCAGCGACCGGAGGUCCGACCGUCUCCGGAAAUCCAGCGCCACGUCAACCGAGCCAAAACGCUGGACGUCCGACAAGUACCGGACGACCGGACCCUCGUGAGCCACCGGACGUCCGGUACCCGUCGGACGUCUGAUGCCUGUCUAUGCAUAGUGUAUCGGGUCGAGCCCAUUUAUCCCUUCGCCCUCACUUACCCCUUCGUGGCCCUAGACUAUGUAUACUCCUCCACCUCCACCAUUUGAGGGUUAGCGUUGUGAUAACUCAUUUGAGAGAUAUAGGUACGCUCAUCCAUAUCGGAUCUCCUCCUUGCGAGAGACCGCGGCCUCUUCGGAGAAGAUCCCUUUGGAUUCAAGCCCCCUUUCUAAGGGAAGAUCCCCUCGUGGAUUCAAGACCUACUCACGUAGAAGACCGGUUACCGUCUAUCAUCCCUAGUUGAUCAUGGAUCGUGUAUCUUACUUUAUUUAUUCGAGGAUCUAGCACAUGUGUGAUCUAUUCAUGUUGGUUUGAGUGUUUUCUCUCGUUUUCCCCAUUUGUGUUAAUCGUGUUCUUCACGGGAUUCCGCUCCUUUCGUGAAAGAUCGGGCGAUAGGGUUCCUACCCUACAUCAUCUUGGUAUCACGAGCCACGUUGAUCACGAUUUCGGAGCCUCCCCCACCGUUUUCUAGCCUUCUUUUGCUUGAUUUCGUCCUAAAUUCGAAAAUCCCCACCAAAAAUAGCCCCAAUGUUUUUUGUGAUUUGUUGGUCUGAUGAUGUUUUGUUGAUUUUGAUCCAUGGAUUUGCUUGGUUUCAAGUGGAUCUAGCAUCUCCCCAAGUUUCCCCAUCUUUCAUCCACGAAAUCUCAUCAAUUUUGACCCCAAAAUCUCCAAAUUCCGCCCGAAAUCGCAUCCCGAAUCUCGGAUCUGGAGUUGACCCCGAUACAUCGGACGACCGUCACCUUACCGGACGUCCGGAGCCGCAGGAACAACCGGACGUCCGACCUUACCGGACGACCGGAACCCCCUAACCCGAGCAGAAUCAGCGGAUUUCCGACCCGACCGGACGUCCGGCGACCGGACGACCGUUUUUUCCAGACAUCCGCUACCUGUAGUGAUGAGGACAUCAAUACCAUUGUUACACCCACAGCCCCUACUGUUACAUAUACUGGACCAAUUACUAGAGCUCGCGCACCCAAUUAAAUUACCAGGUACUUUCGUUUCUUGGUAAUGAUUCUAAUGUUCAUGAGAUUAUGAUGUUGCCUAAAUUGGAUACAUUUGUUUUGCUUACAAAUGAAGGGCCUAGCUUGGAGAAGGAUGAACAUUGGAGCAAGAACACACAUGGAGUUGAUGGCAUGUGCAAGGGGAUCAAGAACGGAGUUACAAGUGAUGAUUUCAGGACUUUAAAGCCGCCAUAAGGAGUGCAUGAAGCCUUGGACGAAAUAUACAAGAUGCCACUUCAUAAUAUUCGUCCAUAGUCUAUUCUAGGUGCUGCAUCACCUUAUUAAUGGGCCAGGCCCAUGUAAUUUCGAAAUACUUAAGUAUAGGCUAUUUUUAGAGUUCGUAUGUGUGGGGAAACAAGAGUUAGGGUUGGUUUCGGACCCCACCCUCAAGGGCCACGAUAUUCCCCCCUCUUCCUCCAUAUAUACAGCCCUUAAGGCGUCGUUUAGACUUUGAGUUUUGUUUAGAUUAAAAGUUCGCCAUAGCUGCAACUUCGCGUACUUCAUUUGUGUCCAACGACCAGACCAAGACGUCACAGAACCCCACCUUGAUCAAUAAAGCUUUCAUCUUAUAUUCGCAAUAUCCCGAUUGCAAUCUCAGUUUCUUGCUUGUUCUUCGUUUGCUCGCAGGAAACAGACCCUCGUGGUCAGAUUGAUCGUGCUCCGGCGUGGUCAAUAACCCUCGGAAGUUGGUUUAGCGAUUGCUAAGGCGCGACGUCUCGCACGAUCGUAGUCGGAUCGUCAAGGUCGACUCCCACAGAAAACGAUAGCCACCAUCUCAUCGAAACAUCGGGACACUGAUGAGGACAUGACUACCUUGGAUAUGACCAAAAAUAUUGCAUAUAUGCAUAUUUGUCAGGUGAUUUCUAGUGCAAACUAUUCAAUAAUCUAUUUAUGUUAUCCAGAACAAAAAUACUUCACACACUUUUGUGUUUUGUCUAAUUGCAGGUGUAUGGGACAUUUGUACAAUCCACAUAUGAAGAUAAGGAAGAAAGAGAUGUUUAUUUGCUGUCCAAAAAGUUCUCUCACGUCACUUUUGGCCCAAGAGAAGAUAGAGUCCAAGUCUCUCACGUUCUGGAUUCAGAUUCGGACUGCACAGACAUACCUGACUCAAAACGCACACAAAUUUUUCAUACGGACUCCGAAUUGGGUGAUUCUUUUUUUGCUGGAAACUAGAUUUCGUGCACUUUCCAACCCAAUUGGAAUCACCUUCAAAUUCGUCCGGAGCAUUGAGUUGUGGAUGAAACAAUCUGAUGCUGCAGUAGAAUCCGAGUCAAACUACAAGUCCAAAGGUGAUACAUCACCUCCACUUGGGCCCAUUGGCCUUGUACGACCUAGAUUUAGUUUUAGGCUGCCUUGGGACGUCCUCCCACCUCCUUGGCCGCCACCCCUUGCUCCUAUAUAAGUAGAUCCAUCUAGUAGCUUUUCCUGGGGAUUUGUUUAGUUAAAAGUUAGCCAUUGCAACUUCGUGUACUUCGUUUGUGUCCAACGACCAGACCAAGACCACUUACGGAUCCCCACCUUUAUCAAUACUUCAUAUAUACUCACAAUAUUCAGAUUGCUUUUAUCAUAUUAUUGCUUGUUCUUCGAUUGCUUGCAGGAAUAGACCUUCGUGGUCAGGUUGAUUGUGCUCCGGCGUGGUCAAUAACCUCUCGGAGUUGGUUUAGCGAUUGCUAAGGCGCAACGUCGUGCACGUUUGUAGUCGGAUCGUCAAAGUCGUCUCCACCAAAUCCAUAGUUAUCAUCUCAUCGAAAGAUCAGGACACCCCGCCUCUAUCAAGUGGUAUCAGUUUUCAGGUUGCUCGGUGAGAUUUUACAGUUUUUCAUAGUUUAGAUCGCAUCUGUCAUUCAUACCUACAGUCCAUGAAAAAGCCAUAAAAAAGUUAGAUUUGUUCAUCAUUUAUCCAAGCCAGUCUGAGCCUUUGCAAUUUUCUAUUCAUUGCUUGCAUAGUUGAAUUAUCGGUUGCAUCGUCGUGUUAGUUGCUGGUCUUAGUGAUAGAGGCAAUGGUGUCCCGAUCUUUCGAUGAGAUGAUAACUAUCGAUUUGGUGGAGACGACUUUGACGAUCCGACUACAAAUGUGCACGACGUUGCGCCUUAGCAAUCGCUAAACCAAUCUCCUGAGGUUACUGACGAUGCCGGAAGCACGGUCAGCCUGACCACGAAGGUCUAUUCCUGCAAGCAAUCGAAGAACGAGCAAGAAUAUGAUAAAGCAAUCUGAAUAUUGCAAAUAUAUAUGAGGUAUUGAUAAUGGUGGGAAUCCGUAAGCGGUCUUGGUCUGGUCGUUGGACACAAACGAAGUACACGAAGUUGCAAUGGCUAACUUUUAACUAAACAAAUCCCAAGGAAAAGCUACUAGAUGGAUCUACUUAUAUAGGAGCAAGGGGUGGCGGCCAAGGAUGUGGGAGGACGUCCCAAGGCAGCCUAAAACUAAAUCUAGGUCGUACAAGGCCAAUGGGCCCAAGUGGAGGUGAUGUAACACCUUUGGAUUUGUAGUUUGACUCGGAUUCUGCUGCAGCAUCAGAUUGUUUCGUCCACAACUCAACGCUCCGGAUGAAUUUGAAGGUGAUUCCGAUUGGGUUGGAAAGUGCACGAAAUCUAGUUUCCAACAAAAAAAGAAUCACCCAAUUCGGAGUCCGUAUGAAAAACUUGUGUGCGUUUUGAGUCAGGUAUGUCUGUGCAGUCCGAAUCUGAAUCCAGAACGUGAGAGACUUGGACUCUAUCUUCUCUUGGGCCAAAAGUGACGUGAGAGAACUUUUUGGACAGCAAAUAAACAUCUUUUUCUUCCUUAUCUUCAUAUGUGGAUUGUACAAAUGUCCCAUACACCUGCAAUUAGACAAAACACAAAAGUAUGUGAAGUAUUUUUGUUCUGGAUAACAUAAAUAGAUUAUUGAAUAGUUUGCACUAGAAAUCACCUGACAAAUAUGCAUAUAUGCAAUAUUUUUGGUCAUAUCCAAGGUAGUCAUGUCCUCAUCAUCCUCCCCUUCUUGAAAAUAAAGCCGUCCUCGGCGUUGCUUAAUCUGAAAUGUGGCUAACAAAAGAGACAAGGUGUACAUGUUGUAUAUGUAUAUGUCAUCCAUUUUUACUUCCCUUGAUUUUUGCAUAUAUGACACAUGAAUAGAUGAGUAAAUUGCAUAGUUCAUAAAAUCUAAAGCCAAAAAAUUAGCACAAGAAGUAGAAGGCAUGAAAAUAUUGCAACUCAGUUUGCACAUAUAAGUGAAGCUCUUAUUCAUUUCAAAAGAUUGACAAUGUUCAUCAUUAAACCAUCCCAACAUUGGUGAAUAAGCAUUACUUGCAUCAAAUUUACAUGCUACAACAUGCUUAAAUAAGCAAACAUGCAAUAAGUCAUUCAACACAGAAUCAUCACCAAGAUUAGAGGUCAUAUCAAAAUGAUUAAACAUUGGUUCUUUUGCAUCAAUAGUUAAUUCAAUGGGUGCACUCAAAAUUGUUGGUAUUUCAGUUGUUUGAUCACAUGGCAAAGUCAAAUUAUCAACGUAGUCCUCUAAAAUAGGUGGUGUGAUCAAAGUAGUGGGUAGCUCAUCAGAUGGUGCAUUCAAAUUGACAAGGCAUUCAUCAUUCUCAUGUAGAGAUGGAAGAUCAGUACCUUUGUCAUUACCUCUUAUGAUCAACUCAGAUGAUGUAGCCACUCUCGGGGGCGAUGUGUCACAUGGUGGAGGUGAUAUAGUCCUGACAACAACGGAUGUGGUUGUCAUAGUAUGCCUAGUAGUUGAAGGAACAAUCAUAUCAACUCUUGGAAUGUGCACCGUGCGCUUGUUCUCCUCGUGGCCAACACGUCGUUUUAUUUCCUGUUCAGCUUUGCAAGCAAGAUGAAACAAAUGGUCCAUAGGAUAACACUCUUCAUGAAUUAGUAUCUCUUGAAUAUCACGAUUUAAUCCUCCCCAAAAUCUAUCCAUAAAAUCAUCUUCACUUUCUUCUAAAGAGGAAUGCAACAAGGUAGUUUGUAAAUCAUCAUAAUAUUUUGUUACAGUUUCACUACCUUGUUUUAAGUGUUGCAACUUCUUAAUCAUGUCACGAGUAUAAUAAGCAGGGACAAAAGUAUGUCGCAUGGCAAGUUUCAAAUCAUCCCAAGUAGUAGGUAUAUAAUCAGGGUGUAACCGACAAUAUUCACUCCACCAAACCAAAGCAUAACCAGUGAAAGAACCAACCGCAACCUUAACCUUUUUAUGUUCAUUAAAAUUAUGGGAAGCAAAUAUAUUUUUUAUGUCGAACUCCCAUUCAAUAUAUAAAGCAGGUUUAAAACGGCCAUUAAAUGGUGGUAUAGAUACAUUAACCUGAUCAUGUGCAUUUGGAUGUUUGUGCACCUCUCGUGACGGUUGUGGUAUUUGCAAAGGUGGUGGCACGUCUCCCGCGAUCGACAAAGCCCAUGAAUUGACUCUGGAUCCUGUCAUGAUUAGUAGAACAAGAAACAAAACCCAAAAAUAAUGUUCCUAUAACUACUAGGAUGUGGUGGUAAAACGCUCACAGUAAAGCAAAUAUCAAUGUCUUACAAGUUCUUACCAUGCAGCAGGCGGUGAUCGGCAACCAGCGGUGUCAAGUAACUCCGAAUAUUGAGUAAAGUGAUUGCCAGGGGAGCGUACGUAUACACGGUGUAGAAAUAUGUGGAGCUGGGUUGGCUAUAUAUGGUAGCAAAAGAUUAGCAAUAAUCAAUUCAAAGAUGCAAUGUUGAAUAAACGCUCAACGACGGUACUGUGCUGGUCCUAGGCUAGACCAAACUAGAGACGCGAGCCUAGAACACUAAUGAGGUCACGUCGUAGCACAACUAGCAUCAACAAAGGAUAUGAAGUAGCCCUGGACAGCAAGAUAUAAGUGAAGAUCACAAUAGCAGUAGACCUAUUUAGUAGCUGAUGUUGAGGUGCCAAAUACUGAACUAGCUUCUGCAACUAUUUAGAUGCGGCUCGUCGCUAGCUUUCAUUUGAGUACUCGCGGAGCCAAAACAGACUUCAUAUGAAGAAGUUAUGCCUGUUUUACUGAACAGUGCAAAAAACAGAUUCCAAUCCGAAUUCAACUACGAGAUUGAGUCUAGAUAGAUCCAAAUUUUGUUUUUUUUCUCCUCUCUUUUUUUUCUCACACUUUUUUUUUUCUUUUCCUUUCUUUUUUUUUCUCUGACUUUUUUUUUACUUUUUUUUCUUGUUUUUUUUCUCUAUCUUUUUUUCUCUCUCCCUCUUUCCAAAACAAACUAGAUAAGAUGUAGAUUGGAUCAAGCGAAGAUGGGAACGAUCUCAACUAUGAUUAUGACAAUGAACGGUGGGUAGCACGUGGAGGAAAUUGAUGGAUGGGUGGUGAACAGCGGAAGGGAUAAUGAUGCAGCGGCGACGUGACUAAUGUGAACAGAACUCGAAACUCUAAACGACCUAGACACUAAGACCAGCAACUCGACACGACGAUGCAACCGAUAAUUCAACUAUGCAAGCAAUGAAAAGAAAAUUGCAAAGGCUCAGACUGGCUUGGACAAAGGAUGAAUAGAUCUAACUCUUUUUUGUGGAUUUUUUUUGGACAAUAGGUAAGAAAAUAAAUCUAAUCUAGGAAAACUAGAAAUUCUCACCGAGCAACCUGAAAACUGAUACCACUUGAUAGAGGCAAUGGUGUCCCGAUCUUUCGAUGAGAUGAUAACUAUCGAUUUGGUGGAGACGACUUUGACGAUCCGACUACUAAUGUGCACGACGUUGCGCCUUAGCAAUCGCUAAACCAAUCUCCUGAGGUUACUGACGAUGCCGGAAGCACGGUCAGCCUGACCACGAAGGUCUAUUCCUGCAAGCAAUCGAAGAACGAGCAAGAAUAUGAUAAAGCAAUCUGAAUAUUGCAAAUAUAUAUGAGGUAUUGAUAAUGGUGGGGAUCCGUAAGCGGUCUUGGUCUGGUCGUUGGACACAAACGAAGUACACGAAGUUGCAAUGGCUAACUUUUAACUAAACAAAUCCCAAGGAAAAGCUACUAGAUGGAUCUACUUAUAUAGGAGCAAGGGGUGGCGGCCUAGGAUGUGGGAGGACAUCCCAAGGCAGCCUAAAACUAAAUCUAGGUCGUACAAGGCCAAUGGGCCCAAGUGGAGGUGAUGUAACACCUUUGGACUUGUAGUUUGACUCGGAUUCUGCUGCAGCAUCAGAUUGUUUCGUCCACAAGUCAACGCUCCGGACGAAUUUGAAGGUGAUUCCAAUUGGGUUGGAAAGUGCACGAAAUCUAGUUUCCAACAAAAAAAGAAUCACCCAAUUCGGAGUCCGUAUGAAAAACUUGUGUGCGUUUUGAGUCAGAUAUGUCUGUGCAGUCCGAAUCUGAAUCCAGAACGUGAGAGACUUGGACUCUAUCUUCUCUUGGGCCAAAAGUGACGUGAGAGAACUUUUUGGACAGCAAAUAAACAUCUCUUUCUUCCUUAUCUUCAUAUGUGGUUUGUACAAAUGUCCCAUACACCUGCAAUUAGACAAAACACAAAAGUGUGUGAAGUAUUUUUGUUCUGGAUAACAUAAAUAGAUUAUUGAAUAGUUUGCACUAGAAAUCACCUGACAAAUAUGCAUAUAUGCAAUAUUUUUGGUCAUAUCUAAGGUAGUCAUGUCCUCAUCACUUAGUGUCUAGUUUCUUUAGAGUUUCGAGUUCUGUUCACAUUAGUCACGCUGCCGCUGCAUCAUUAUCCCUUCCGCUGUCCACCAUCCCAUCCAUUAAUUUCCACCACGUGCUACGCACUGUUCAUUGUCAUAAUCAUAGUUGAGGUCAUUCACAUCUUCGCCUGAUCCAAUCUGCAUCUUAUCUAGUUUGUCUUGAAAAGAGGGAGAAAAAAAAGAUAGAGGAAAAAAAAGAGAG
This 46827-nucleotide long non-coding RNA is filed under the name Triticum aestivum (bread wheat). Its description in RNAcentral is "long non-coding RNA (TAES_LNC005431)". Lineage: Eukaryota; Viridiplantae; Streptophyta; Magnoliopsida; Poales; Poaceae. The record is from RNAcentral.